Molecule: long non-coding RNA, 70568 nt
Filed under: Eutrema salsugineum
Lineage: Eukaryota; Viridiplantae; Streptophyta; Magnoliopsida; Brassicales; Brassicaceae
Description: long non-coding RNA (ESAL_LNC000180)
Source: RNAcentral
UUCCAACUCCAUCUUCCAUAAGGCGCUUCCAUGCCUUUUCCAGCAUUGUUUCCUGACCAAUCGUAGGCCCAGUAGGCCUUUCUUCUACUGCAGAUCUCAAAACCGGCUCAGUAACCUCUUUAAAAUUACCCUCCGAUUUGAGUUUCUUAACCUCUUUCAGCAACAAGAAUACCUUUUUCCCAUAUUUGUAGCUGGAACAUACACUUUUUGAAGAUAAACCACAGAGACAUAACUUCUUAAGCUCAACAGGACUAGUACUAAGCAGAUUAUUGAAUCGUGUAUCGAUGCUCUCGACACGUGUUAGCCAUACCUUGACAGCUUCAAGCCUUUGUUGAUGUUGUGCCUCCUCUCUCGCUACUUUGUUCUUCACCUCAGCUUCAAUUGCCUUGAGAUCAUCCAUUUCCCUCUUCAGAGCCCUGAGAUUCUCCUUGAGGUUUCGAAUAUAACCUUUGCCACAUAAGAAUCUAAAGAUACGAUUGAGAUCACCACCAGUAAGUUGGAUAGGAUUACAACUCCCCAUGUCGAUAGAAAGAGAGAAAACUUUGAGUAAGCAACAAACGAAAGCUAAAGAUGAAGAAGUGUUUUAUGUGAAAAGCAUUUUACAAGUGACGAAGGCAUAUAUGAUUUGUUAUCUGUCGGUCCUCUUUGGUUUCUAAUUUCCACCACUCCCACAUAUGCAUCGACUGAUACGAUUCACAUGAAAAAUGAAAAGCCACACAAUUUCUCUAUGGUGAUAGAAAGAGAAUAUUUCUGAAGCUGAAGAAGUUUUUAUUGUCAAAAAUAUCAUUGGAGAUAAGAUAACACAUCUUUCUCCAAUACGGGUGGUUAGGAGAUUUUCCAAAGGGAAAAAAAAAAAUUGCUUACGAAAGACUUUGACUAUUCUAAUAUCCGACCAUAGAUUUUACGAGUGAAGACUUUGCUCAAACUUAUUUCAAGUCAACUAAAGUCCUAUCUUCUGCUCUUAUGUUCUUCGUUUGGCGCUUGUAGCUGUCAAUUUGUUAGCCAUGUUGGCUUUGUUAUUGUUUGUAAACAAGUCUUCCUCUAAUGGAGCGUAGCUAAUCUAUAAAAUCUCAUUUGAGCAAAAAGAAAAUUAAAAGGAAACCCAAGUCUAAGGUGACAGAAACGUGGAUUGGUCAAGUAGUGGAGAUGAUUAAGUAAUCAUUGUCUGUUAUGCCCAAAGUAGCUUACGAAGUGGAGUCUUCUUUUGCGUUGAAAUCCUAUACGAUUAUUGUGUUGUGCCGAUUCUAUUUUUUCGUUAGUCUCUCUGUAGUAGAAGAACAUACCUUAGAUUUAGGCAUUGCCUGUUUAUGAUUUCAUUUAGAUUCAUGUUUCUUUUUAGCACCCUAUUGAGAAUUUAUUAUGUGCUACUUGAGAUAAAUCUGGGUUUGAAUUCUUUAAGUUGCUCAUUAAUGGAGUUUUAGUCAUGUCUAAGAGUAGAAAGUAUAUAAAAGCUUUUAAAAAAAGACUUGAUGAAUGGCAGAAAGAAUAUGAUCAGGGAGUUUUAUAAAGCUGAGGAUGAUGAAAAAUCGAACAUACAAAGUAUUUUGCCAUGUCUAAAACCAGAAUGUCCUACUGCCAAAUCUGUUGGGUAGUAGAACUUUUCUAGUCAAUGCGGUGGCAAAUCGAAUCUGGGGGAAGAAGUGUAAGAUUUUUUCUCGAAAACUUGGUGAAACUUCUUAAUGUUGUAUCACGUAUUGUUGUUCCAUGGACUUCCGCUGCCACUUUAAUAUAUAUUUUUAUCGUCCCAUUCAUUUCUUGCUGAACAAGAAACCCAAAUGUGGAAAGAAAAGAAGAAGAAAUUGUUUGUGAUUUUAUCCUUUGAAGAUCAAUACACAUAUGUUUUUACAUUUUUAAAUAAUGAAAUUAAUCCCCCAAAUACAUGCAUGACUUUUCUAAUAAUUUUUUAUUAUGUUGUUCCAAUUUGUGUUUGUUGGGUGUAUGAUAUAUUAUGAUGCAAAUGGAGAGUAUCAGUCUAAAUAAGGGUGCAUACUUCAAGCUAUUCUAGAGCAAACAAGUAAGAAACUUUAGAGAUGAAAAAAAACAACUCAAGCGGAAGAGUAUAAGAGAACUGAUUACCAGAUGGAUUAAAGGCAAGAAACGUUUUUGGUAUCUUCGUCCUCCCAUUCAAGCUCAGUUUAUCUCUUCUCCAGGACCCAUACCUAUUGUAAACCAGGCAAUUCGUGGGACACUUGUAGCAUCUAAGGGAAGCUUUCUCAGCUGUGGACACUCUUCUACUGUUAAUUUUUGCAAUAACAGUAGAUACUCUCCGGCUUAAGCAAAUUUCUUAUCGAAAACACUUCUAGUUUCUGAAACGGUGUAAUACCUCUAACUGUAAGAUUGACUUCUUUCUCUUUGCUUAUAAUAAUAUCUUCUACUUCUUCUGAAUAUCCACGUAGACGACAAGAUUUGGAGCAAACAGUGGAUUUCUAAGUUCUCUAGUUUGGGAAAUUUCGUGGCUUAUGAUGAACAAGUUGGGGUUUACUGAAAUUGAGUUCUGGUUUAAUCAAGACUGGUUAUAUCAUUAAUUCUUUAAGCCGGUUAAAGCAGUAUUAUGGUUCUAUUUUGGAAGUGGGUUCACUGACAUUGAUUUUUUUUGUUUUGUUUUAUAAUUUAAUUCAUUUUCAUAGAUGAAUUUGAAAGGUUACAGCGCAAAUAAACCUCAGACCGGUGAUCAGGUGAAACAUGAAAGAUAAAAUUAUGUAUAAGCUUUCCAGCAGUCAAAUCCCAUACCUAUUGGAUAUGAUCAAAUAUUAUAUCAAUUGUUAGAAACACAUACGUUGGGGAAAAGAGAAUGCGCAAGAUCCAUUUAUAGAUAUUGCAGUGCUUACCUUUACAACAUUGUCAAGUCCUCCAGUCACUACAAAAUUUACAACAUACGUUGGAGUAAAUUUGAUAGUGUUGAUGCCACGAGUAUGACCCUUGUACCUCUGUAUGCAUCCCUUCUUUCUGAUGUCCCAAAUCUUCAAAUUCGUGUCACUUGAUCUAUGAUGCCAAAAAUUCACCAAAUGGAUGAAAUUCAACAGCAGAACAAUUGGAUCUAUGUCCAGUAAAAGCUCGAACCACUACACUUCAAGAGUAAGAGUGAACAUGUUAGACCUCAUAAUUCUAAAGUAAACGAUAGAUAUGGUGUGGUACACUGCUCAAAUAUCAGGACCCAUAAUCAACAUCUAACUCAAUCGGUAUCUCUAUAUGUUCCCAUUUGAUGAAACUAGCUAGGCAUAUAAGGAGCAACAAGUAUUCUAAAGGAGAGCAGAAAAUCAAUCAACUAACUCUUUGCUUCUUCUAGAUCCCAAAGCUUUCUCACACCCGAAGAAGCUCCACCAAGCACCAAAACUUCUGCCGAGUCAAAAGCUACUGAAUCCACUGCACUAGUAUGUCCACAUAAACUCUGCAAACAACUCAAGAAAUGAAUAUAGCAGCACUCUUCUAUAUAAAAAACAAUACACACUUUUUGCUCAACAAGGAGGAAAAAUUUAGACAAGAGAGAAAACGUGAAACACACCAUUAAAGAAGUAGGCUUGCCGAUCGCCCAAAGGUUGACAUUGUAAUCAUCACCACCAGUAAUAAGGAGCCGUGAUGUCUUCUUUCCGAUACUUAAGCAAUUUACAUUUGCAGAAUGUGCCAAAAACUCCUCUACGUUUCCAAAAUCAAGUCAAGGUAUAAGCAAACACCAGACAAGAACAGCUAAAGAAAGGAGCAGCCUUUGAAGCAACUCGACAGCAAAACAUAAAGCAGGUCAUAAAUGGAGAGAAGUACUUUCACAUACAAAACAUAUCCAGAAAAUAUCCAUUUUCUAUCAUAUUGAGCAGCCAGUGAUAGAAACAUUUGACCCGGAAUUAAUUUCUGCUAAAAUCUUGAAAUGCUAAUCAAAACUUGAAGCUUAUCAAUAGCAAACUAAGCUUUGCUCUUGGGAGUUUUUAAAGAUAAAACCCUAACGAUUCGGUGAUUUAAAAAAAAAAAAAAAAAGACGACAAAAAUUUCUCAGGAUGGAGCUAAAAAUCCAGAGUUCGUUCAAUUUUACUCAGCUUAAGAAUCAACAACAUCGCCAGGAAUAUAAAAGGAUACGCAGCUUAUAUCCACGCUUCGCCAUUUUCUACUCGAUUUCCAGCAAAUCCGUGGGAAUCAAUGGAAUCCGAAUCUCUAGCUUCCGUAAUCGAUCGAAAAAACGGUGAAUCGGAGCUGAAAAAAAAAUCCCAAUUGUCACUACACGACAGAGCUCGAGAUUUUCGGGAAAUUCAAAAGGAGAAACACGGAGGUUGCUUCCCGUUGAGAUUUCAAAUCUAGAACGUGAGAAAAGAAUCAAAUUCCGGGAACAAGAAUUUUGAAGGAAACGAGAUAAUCAGAGAUUCAAAUAGUGACACGGAGCAGAAAGAAAAAAAGAAACAGAAGAGAAGAAGAAAAAUGGUAAAGCGAAGGAAGUUUUUUAUGUUGUCAAUAUUAUUCGAUAGGUGAGGAAGCACCUCAUCAUCUCUUGGAUUUGUUUGUUUCCUAAAGACAUUGUCAACCUUAUAUAUAUAAAUAGGGUAAUUAAGCGUAGUGUUUUGUUUGGUAAGACAUAAUAUUAUACAUAUAUAACAUUUAAAUACUCGAAUCAAAGAGAUAAUUAAGAAAUUUUGAAUCAAAGCCUAUAACAUAGUGUCUAGAAAAUCAAUAAAAAAUCUUUAAAUGAUUUAGAUAUUAAAAUCAAUUUUUAAAAAUAUUUCUCAAAAUUUUGUGGAUAAAAUAAUCUAAACGAGAAUUGUUUUCAUUGUUUUGUAUAAUAUUUCGAAAAUUGAAAGUAGACUAAAUUAUGUAGAAAAGAAGAAUCUACGACCGCUAACAAACACCUGAACACGAAAUUCAUUAUGAUUAAACAAAUAUCAAACUUUCUUUUUUUCCAACAUUAGUAUCAUGUUUUUCAUGUCAGUCAGUUUCUAUGUUGCUUCUCAUCUUUAGAUGCUUUAGUAUUUCUCAAUGUUUUUAAACCCGACCCGGACAACGACCCGAAGUAUUCUUCGGAUUGUCGGUUAACUGGAUUGACCUGGAUUAAUCCGGGUCAACCGCGGAUCAACUAAGUAUAUAUAUUUGUUAUGUUUUUUAAUAAAUUUUAUCACUUUUGUUACAUUUUUUUUAAUGUAAAAAAAUACAAAUUUUUGCUAAAAAGUUUUGUCACUAAAUCGCAUUAAUUAUUAUAUAUCUUUUUCUAUAUAAUUUUUUUUAAUAAAAUUAAAUUAAAAUAUACACUAAAUAUAGUGAUCAUAUUAACUAUAUUUUUGAACAUUUUUAAUUAUAUAUUUUUUCCUUUUAUUUAUUUUCUUUUUUAAACAGUUAAUUUUUUACUAGAAAAUUUGAUAUUACAAAACUUACAAUUGUAUAAUGGUGAGAAAAUAACAAACUAUUCAAUAAAAUAUAGAAAAACAAACUGUUAUUACUACUAAAAACAUUCAAAUAAAAGUAUAUUAAUUGUCUCUAAAAUCCAAAAAUAAUGUAGAAAAUUUUAGCAAUAUUUUUUGAUUUUGUUACCACCUCAUUUUUUCCAUCUUCUGUUAUUGUAAGUGCUCUGCAUCUUGUUCUAAUUUUGUUUUCUAAAACUGUAUUUUUUUUUUAAAAAAAUAUCAUAUAUUCAUAAAUAAAUUUAUAAAACUAUUAAUUUUUUUCCAAACCAGAAACCCAUCCAGAUCGGGUUUUUGCCGGUUCACCGAGUUUAAGCGGGUUUUUCUGGAUUUAAGCGGUUUAAUAGCAUUUUGGGUUUCAACAAAAACUAAACCGGAAAUUUUACCAGGUCACGGUUUAACCGGUUAAACCGUCCGGUCCGAUCUGGGUCUGAAAACAUUGGUAUUUCUCUUACAACUAUGCUCAUGGUAUUUAGUGGUUGGAUGAUUUACUUUAAGAUUAGAAUACUAAUAAUUUGAAUAUUCUUACAACAAUUUCAACUGUAGUUGAAAUCUGAAGCCAUAUUAAAUGAUAAAUAUACUCAGUUUUUAAUUAUUCACAAACUACAAAAAUUAGUCUAGAUUUCGAUAUAGAAUUUUAUAAUUAUCAAUAUUUUCUUCUUCUUUUCCUGAUAGCAUAAGCUUUUAUUGUUUAUUUUUAGUUAAAAAAGAAAAUAAAGUAUAGCAAAUUAAACACAUUAUUGAAACAAAUGUUAGGAAUCUUAUACUGAAUAUUUGAUAGAACCCAAAGUAAUAUAUAAGUGAAAUGGAUCAAUCCGCACCAAUUAUUUUUAAAUCAGAACCCCAUAAAACGUAAUGUGGUAGCGGAAUCCAAAUUUUGUUGACUUACGGUAGUAAUAUAUAAGUGAAAUUAAUCAAUCUGCUAAUUACCAGCUACUUUUAAAUCAGAAUAUCAUAACGUAAUGUGGUAGCAUAAUCCAACUUUGUUGAUUUAAGUAGGAUAGCCCGAAUAAGAAAUAUUGUAGUUCGUGUAUGGCAUACUGCAAAUCUUAGAAUAUGUUUUGGUUUGAGUCUUCAAGAUGUGCGAGAUAGUUAUCAUCUAGAGGAAAUGGACUUAAAGAACUAUAUAAGAGAUACACUCAUAAUUCAUAUAUACCAGAAUCCAUUUUAUUACCAAUUUUUUUUUAGUUAGAACCUAUAAAACUUAGAAACAUAUAUCAUGAUAUAGAAUCAAAGGUCAUCUCACUAAAAAUUAUUAUGCUCACAUAUGGUUUAGUUAUUCAAAAAAAUAAAUAAUCAAACAUACGAAUUAACCAAAAUAUAGUCUUAAAAGUUUUAGGUCUGCUAAAAUGUUUUUUUUAGGUGUUACUAUGCUAAGCUUCAAAUUGUAUUGUAUUCACUCUUCAGUAUAAGACUAAUGAACAUUUAAUUUACAAUUUUGAAUUUUCUAAUGGAGUAGACCGAGAUCAGGCCCAGGCUAUAACCGCUUCUUACAGGCUAUUGAUGCAAUCAAAUGUUACAAAUUGCGAACGGCUAUUUGCUUUGUGUUAGCAUUGGUCCAUUGAAUUUUAAUUUUUUUUUAUAAUAUAUUGAGUCAUAUGUAAAUACUAGAUGCCUGGUACCGGUUCUUAUCAGCUUCGCUGCUUUGUAUAUAGUCGCCGUCUGCAAGAAUCAUUCUGAGAAAUGCUAGACAAGAGUGAGAAAGACAAUUUUGUAAAAGAAAGAAGAUUGAGUUUUGCCAGAAACUACUCUACAAGAUUGUUGUAGUUUCUGGACACGCAGCUAAUUCAAACGACGAACCAAUGUUCAAGACCGGUGGGUGGUGAAUAAUUGAGCGUAUCAAUUAAGCUUGCGAAUUUGUUUUUUUUUUUUUGGCUGAAGAUUUGUUCUUGGGUUCUUGUUUUAAUGUUCUUAAUGUGGUGAAGCCAUUAGGAAAGGAAUGUGAAAACUCUUAAAAUUAAGAAGACUCUUUCCAUGUCUUCUUAAGCGAAGUUGUCUCUAGUUAUUGCCCCAAAUCAGAAAGCCACUAGACAUAGUUUAGGAUUAGAUGGAAGUCAUAGCGUCUUCAGAUUAGGUUUAGGGGAUUUAAAUUAAAGAGUCUGAAAAACAGGAUCUUCAUGAUUUAGCAAAAUCAUAUAACUUUUCAUCUUGAUUCCUCCUGUUAACAACAGAAACACACUGCAAGAUGAAAUAGAAAAAGCUACAGGUAGAGGAAUUUGAUUUUGGAUAGUGAGGAAUCAAAAUACACAGUGAAUUCAGAGGCAUCACAUACUUUUAUGAUAUAAGCAUAAAAACUGUUGAUUAUAUAAAUACAUGUAGCUUGAGAAGGAAGCAAUCCGCCUUAACUUAUUACAUAGAAAAUUGAAAAGAGAAAAUCCAAUUGAACAACACAACACACUGCAGAGAGAGAUAAGAAUGCAUAGGAAAAGCAAUAAUACAAUCCAAAUGAGCAACACAUCACACUUUCAAGAAGAAAGAGAACGCAGAAGAAGAAGCGAGGAUUCUGGUUUCUGACAGUGAGGAAUCCCAAUCCAGCUUAAGGGAUGGUUAGACAUACUGAAUCCGCUAAAGAAGAAAAAAAUAAACAAAAGUUAGUGAAUAUUCAUAAAAAAAAUACAUUUCACCUAAAACUGCUAGGAAUAUCCAGCAAAAUCUUAAGAAGCUGAACUAAUAUUAAUCAGUUUCUAUUAAAUAUUUUUAUAUAUUCUUUGCUUAACGAAUGUGAAAGGAAAAGAAGAAGAAGAAAAACACUGUUUGUAGAUAUAGUCAUUUGAACAGCUCAAUGCACAUAUGUAGAAAUUUUAAUGACCCCUCGUAUAUAUCCAUUAAACACAGGUCUGAUGAUUUUCCAGAUAAUUGUCUAAUUUUGUGCCUCAAUUUGUGUUUUGUUGGAUAUCAUGAUGCAAAUGGAUAAUAUCAGACCAAAGAAAAAACGAUCACACCUCAUUCUAACCUUGAGCAAACUUGAAAGAAACGCAGUAAGAUAAAAUAAUUUAUUCAAGCGGAAGAGAAUAAGAGAAAUGAUUACCGAAUGGAUUAAAGGCAAGAUACGUUUUUUGGUAUCUUCAUCCUCCCAUUCAAGCUCAGUUUUCUGUUCUUCAGGACGCAUAUAUAUUCCAAACCCGUCAAGUCGUGGGACACUUGUAGCAUCAAAGGGAAGCUUUCUCAGCUUUGGACAAUUUCCUACAUAUAUGUGCCGCAAUGAUGGAAAGGGGAGAGGACUCCAGUAGAUACUCUCCAGCUCAGGCAACUGUAACAGGGAUAACUUUUCUAGUUUCUGAAAUGGUGUAGUACCUGUAAGAUUGGUUGCUUUCUCUUUGUUUAUGAUUUCUUCUAGUUCUCCUAAAUGUGAAAUGUCUAGCCAAGUCAGAUUUGGAGCAAACAGUAGCCAAGUCAGAUCCUUAAUGCCAGGACAGCUAACCAUUGCCACGACGGAGAGGUUGGUAAAGCGUGGACUUGUCCGAUUGUGUAAAUGAGAUGAGUCGGUCUCGCUUUCUCUGCAUUUAGUAUAUGUAUUAAUCUCCGAGACAUGACUUUUUUUCACACAGUGCUCACGAAGAUUCUCCAUACUCACCAGCGAUGACAUAUUGAAUGGCUUUUCUUUAAAACCUUGAAUAACCAGAUGAAUGAUGCAGUUAGCCAACCUUUGAUCGCCUAAUAUAUGCUUCAAACCCAACUCGGUAGAGAUCGUUAUGUCUAGAACUUGUAGAUGCUACAAGAGCUGCAGCUCCUUCAACAAGCUAACAUCUUCAUGAACUUUAGAAUUUUCUAGUCUCAAAAUUCUUAAACUCGACAGCUUUGAUAUCCCACUGAUACUACAAAGACUCUCUGUACCAGUCAAAUCCAGAUGAAUUAGCUUUUUCAACUCUUGGAAACCAACUGGCAGUUGCUUUAUACUUGUGUACGACAAGUUAAGAUACUGCAAGGAGGCCAGCUUCGAUAUCUGCUCAGGAAGUUUUUGGAAAUCAUCAUUAUCUGAUAGAUCCAAAACAACUAGCUUUUGCAUAGAGCCGAUGAAUUCACCUGAGAGAUUCUUCAACUUAUUCUUCUGGAGGAGCAGAGUUGUAAGUUCAGAACACUUGGAACUGCAUUUUAUCUCUUUAACCUCAUUCCUCAUUAAAGACAUCCUUCUCACAGCUCUCCAAUUCUUGACUUUUGGCGUUUCGUGUAAUCCGACUCCUGCUUGAACAAAAAAAGACUCAGAUGCAAUCCAUAGAGCCAUUUCGCGAACCACGUCAUGCAUCACAACAAGACCUAUCCUAUCAGGCUGUUCUGUCAGUAAAUUUGAGCGGAUAAGGGUACCAAGUACCUCAUAACCCUUAUUCACUGCCCUUUUAUAAGAUUGGUGUUCCCCGAUGAAUCCCUCGCACAUCCAAUAUUUUAUCAAAUCUCCUUUAUCUAUCUCAUAAUCUUCCGGAAACAGAGCACAAUAGAGGAAACACGACUUGAUAUGUUCACCCGCCAAGCUAUCAUAGCUAUACUUCAGAAUCGGAAGAAUUUUGUUUUCCAUGUCAGAAAACUCUGCAGCUGAUCUGGACAAAACAUCGACUGCAAGCUCCCAUUCUUGUACCGUAGUUUGAGAUGACAUUGUCUCACCAAUGACAACAAGCGCUAGUGGCAGACCACAACAUUCUUUAGCGACCUUUUUGGCAAGCUCGACAAUGGCAGGAUCUCUACUUAAUGUAUUAUCUCCUACCUUGCUUUUGAACAAUUCCCAUGCUUCAGUCCAUUCCAAACAGUUGACUUUCAUCGGCUCAUGAUCUCCCAUCCGCCCACAUACUACCCGAGAACGAGUGCUGAAUGUUACUUUGCAUCCAUUUUCUCUGGUUGGAAACGGAACUCCAAUGACUUCUAAAUCAACUUUCUCCCAUAUAUCAUCUAACAUCAGGACAAAUCUCUUCCCUUUUAAAACUCUGUGUAUAUUGAUUGCCUUGUCACUUUCACUUUUGUUCUUCCACUCGCCGUCGCAAAGGUGUAGCUUUUGUGCAAUAUCAUCUUGAAGCUUUGAAGUAGUUGCACCUUGAGACACCACGACCCAGAUCACAACAUCAAAUCUACCAGCCACUUCAGUGAACUUAUUGUGGAUAUUCUUGAAAAGGGUAGUCUUGCCUACACCUCCCAUACCGUGCAAACCCAUGAUUCCAACUCCAUCUUCCAUAAGGCGCUUCCAUGCCUUUUCCAGCAUUGUUUCCUGACCGAUCGUAGGCCCACUAGGCCUCUCUUCUACUACAGAUCUCAAACCCGGCUCAGUAACCUCUUUAGAAUUACCCUCUGAUUUGAGAAUCUGGACCUCUUCCAGCAACAAGAAUACCUUUUUCCCAUAUUUGUAGCUCGAACAUACACUUUUUGAACAUAAACCACAGAGACACAACUUCUUAAGCUCAACAGGACUAGUACUAAGCAGAUCAUUGAACCGUGUAUCGAUGCUCUCGACACGUGUUAGCCAUACCUUGACAGCUUCAAGCCUUUGUUGAUGUUGUGCCUCCUCUCUCGCCACUUUGUUCUUCACCUCAGCUUCAAUUGCCUUGAGAUCAUCCAUUUCCCUCUUCAGAGCCCUGAGAUUCUCCUUGAGGUUUCGAAUAUAACCCUUACCACAUAAGCAUCUGACGAUAUGGUUCAACGUUUGAUCACAGGAAAGUUGGAAAGACACACAAUUCCCCAUGGUGAUAGAAAGAGAGAAAACUUUGAGUAAGCAACAAACGAAAGCUAAAGAUGAAGAAGUGUUUUAUGUGAAAAGCAUUUAACUAAUUCUGAAGAAGGAAGAGAGGAUUAGUUAGAUUUUAGUCUACUAUGCGUUUUAAUUUCCGCCAUUGUUUCGAAGGACGUUUAGUCGUUUACUUUAGAUGCAAUUAUGUUUGAAAAAUUCAAAGGUCAAUUACCAACUCUUAUCAUUAUUAAGAUGCAACUAUGUUUUAAAUUAUACAAAGGUCAAUGAUUUAAUCGCCCAGUUUGGAUUAUUAUGCAACUAUGUUUUAAAAAAACAAAGCUCAAUUAAUGUUUAAUCACUGGGUUUGGAUUAUUAUCAUCACUUGUUGUUAAUUAUUUAAAUCAUUCACUUUAAAAUAUUUGUGAAAAAUCAAUUACUUUAGAAUAUUUUCCAAAUGACAUGGGAACCAAUAACCAUGAUCAAAAACGGUGUGGUGCGAUCGCACGAAGCCAAAAACAACUUACAAGAAAUCUGGAACAGAGCAGACAAUGGAGAAGUCUAAGGAUCUCGUCAAGGCUGAGAACUCAGAAUGGCCUCCAAAUUUUAUCUGCACCUGAAUUCAGAAUGGCCUAACAAAAAGUGCAGAAUGGCUUAUAAAAACUGCCCAUACCAAGCAAAAAAAAAAAAAAAAAAAAAAACAAAAAACAAAGUCAGUCAAUAACAGAUAUCAGUCUCGAAGUUGCUUUUUUGUUUCACCAAAAAAAAGAAAAGAAGAAGUUGCUUCUUUUGUGGGAAAAGCAGAGGUCAUAUAAAGGCUCAUUGUUACAGGUUUCAGAGGAAAGUAAAUCAGUUUUAGAAUCAUCAAGACUAUAUGGAAAAACCAUUGAGAUUCACAGAAGCAAAGAAUUUUAUUUUGGACAUCGAGGAAUAAAAAUCUAAAAUCAAAAUCCAAAGGUACAUUGAAGGAUGUUUAGACCCAAAACGGCUACAAAAGAAAAGAAAGAAAAAAAAGUUAGUGACACUUGUGGAACGCAUUGAAAUUGAGAGGGACAACAUAUUCUGAAAAUAAAAUUCCAUUUUAACAUGUCUGCAGGGAUUAUCCAACUAAUUCUACCUCACCAUUGAUAUCUUAAGAAGCUGAACUAGGUUUAAACGGUUUUGUUGCGGAUAUCACCAAUAUCAAUUCGUUCAAAUUGAGUUUCCGAUCUGAAUCUUUAGAUGAAAUAGAAACGAGAAAUAAGCAAUAGAAACUACACACAAGAUUUAUCCAGUUUAGGGGCCAACCGCGACCCUACAUCUGGCAGAGACUUCCUCGGAAUUCACUAAGAGAAUGGUUUACAGAGUAGCCGUUACUCUCACUGGAAGAUACCCCGAGAAUCCCUUUCACUCACCGGAAAGAUCUCACAGUUUUCACUCACCAAUUACAAAAAAUGGUAUGUCGAAGAAGAUCUCUCUCUCUCUCUCUCUCUCUCUCUCUCUCUCUCUCUCUCUCUGUCUGCAACUAAUUAAUGACCGACCCGUAGUAACAAACCGAAACAACCCCUGCGCGUAAACACACGCUCUAACGGUCACUCUUCGAUAUCAGCUUCUAGAAGAAGCUCGUAACGAUGACGUCUUGGAGUCUUACCUUAUCCGGUUCACCUAAUCCUGAAAUCAAUAUCCUGACUUCAUAAACCGGAACCUGCUAAUUGAACUAGAUGGUUUAUCAACCAAACCCAUCGGACAGGUUUUUUAACUUUCUCUUUUAACAUUUUUCUCCUCCCAUAUAUUCUUUGCUGAACAAGAAACCCAAAUGCCAAAUGUGAAAGAAGAAGAAGAAGAAUUAUUUGUGAUUUGAUCAUUGAAGAAUUCAAUACACACAUGUUUUGUAAUUUUGGAAUUAAUGAUACCCCAUACAAAUCCACCAAACACAUGUUUUAUUUUCAACGUAAUUUUACAGUUUGUGAUCCAGAUUUGUUUGUUGAGUAUCAUGAUGUACAUAUGGAUCAUAUCAGUCUAAUAAAACGAUUCAGACCUCAUGCUAACCUUGAGUGAAAGAAACUUAGUAGUAAAAAUAAUUACCCAAACAGAAGAGUUUAAAGGCAUCUUCUAUAUAUAAUUCUAUAUUUUACUCUAUUUAGAUACUCCAUUUUUAGAGUAAUUCUAUUUUUAGAGUAAUUCCAUUUUUUAAUAGUAAUUCCAUUUUGGAGUGAAAUAUGAAAUAGGUUUAGAGAGAAUUUUCUUCGAACUCGAAAUUUGGAGUAGAGUCGGAGAUGAUCUAAGAGAACUGAUUACCCCAUCGAAUGAACGCAAGAAACGAUUCUUGGUAUCUUCGUCCUCCAUUCAAGCUCAGUUUUUUGUUCUUGAGGAAUCAAUCUUAUUACAAACUGGCCAACUCAUGAGAAACUUGUAGCAUUUAAGGGUAGCUUUCUCAGCUUUGGACAGAGAUCAGCUACUAUGUGCUUCAGAAAUGGAAAGGCAAGAGGACUCCCGUAGAUACUCUCCAGCUUAGGCAAAUUCCUAAAUGUUAUAAAUUUUAGUUUAUGAAAUGGUCUUAUACCUGUAAGAUUGUUACUUUUUUGUUUACAAUGUCUUCCAGUCUUCUUGAAUUUUCAAUCUGUAGGUAGACAAAAUAUAUUGACUAGAUUAUGUUGAAAAAUGUCAAUCUCUAAAACAUUGCUUCAGUUCGCCAACCUUCAAUCGCCCAAUAAUUGCUCCAAAUCCAACUCCGCAGAUAUGAUUAUGGUUAGAACUUGUGGAUUCUCCAAGAGCUGAAGCUCCUUCAAUAAGCUAGCAUCUCCAUGAAAAUUAGAAUAUUGGAAUUUCAAAAUUCUUUAACUUGAUACUUUUGAUAUCCCAUUGAUACUAGAAAGUCUCUAUGUAACAAUCAAAUUCAGCUGACUUCGCUUUUUAAAAUCUUGGUAGCCAACAUGGAGUUGCUCUAUACUGUAUACAACAAGUCAAGAUACUGCAAGGAUGCCAGCUCUGAUAGUUUUUUCAUAGAGCGGAUGAAUUUACCUGAGAGAUUUUUCAAAUUAUCACUCUGGAGGAACAGAGUUUUAUAAGUUCAGAGCACUUGGAAAUGCAAGUUAUCUCUUUAAUCGUAUUCUUCAUUAAAGACAUCCUUCUCACAGCUUUCCAAUGCUUGACUUUUGGUACAUAACCCUUAUUCUUCGCUCUUUUAAAAACUUGGCAUUCUCCAAUGAAUCCCUCGCAGAUCACGUACUCUAUCAAUUUUUCUUUAUCUAUUCGAACAUCUUCUGGAAACAGAGCACAAUAAAAGAAACAUGACUUGAUACGUUCAUCCACCAAGCAAUUGUAGCUGUACUGGACAUUUUGCUAAUGUUGAGCAAACAUGACUUUAUCUAUAGAGGAAACAUGACUUUAUCUAUAGUGUUUUUGGUCAAUAGGUGGAAUGCAUUUAGCUAAUGACGAUGAAAGAGAGAGAUUGUGUUAGAUUUCAUUCCUCUUUGCUUUGUAAUUUCUCCCAUAGUUUCAAAGUCGUCGACUUGAUGCAACCAUGUUUUUAUAAAGAUGAUUAAUCCCCAGUUUCGGAGUAUUUUAAUCACAUUAGAUGCCACUAUGUUUUAAAAGACAAAGCUCAAAUUCGUUGACUUGAGCUUUUCAAGAACGAUUUGAAACGUGUGGCUGAUGUUCCAGAAAGAAAUGCACCUGAUUUCAGAAUGGCCUCCAGAAACCUGCACCAUACCAAGUAAAAUCAAAACAAAUUAAAGUCAGAUAAUAAAAAAUUAAAAGAGGAAUGCUUCUGGGGGACAACUCCUAAGCAGCAUUGCUCUUGGAUUUGGAAAUCUAUUCUCUCUCUCUUAUGCCCCUUGCAAAGAAUCUGAUCGGAUGUGAUGUUAGGGAUGGCGUGUCAACAAGUUUCUGGUUUGACUCUUGGACCAAUUUAGGUCUGUUGAUUGACUUGACAGGUCUUGAUGACCCACAAAAAAUGGGAAUUCCUCUUUACUCUUCGGUUGCUGACUCUUGUUCUCCCAACGGGUGGAGACUUUCCUCAGCUAGGACCAGAGACUCAUCUCAUUUAGCUAUCCGCAACACCAUUACUGAGUUAUCCAUCCCGCACCAAGAUCAGGGUGGAGACGUGUUUCUUUGGGGUGUAGAAGGUUCAAGAAGAGAUUAUUUCUGUACCAGCAAAACUUGGCAUAUUCUGAGGCUUAAGGAGGAUAUAAAACGUUGGUUGAAAGCUGUGUGGUUCAAGAGAGCCACUCUGAAGCAUGCUUUCACCUUUUGGACGGCAAACUAAGACAGGUUACCACUGAAAACAAAGCUUGUGAGCUGGGGAAUUAAUAUCUCUCCAACAUGCUGCCUUUGUGACAUGGAGGAAGAGACUAGAGACCAUUUGUUUCUACACUGUCCAUUUUCUGAAGCAGUUUUGACCAUGGGGAUUCGGCGACUCGAAUUUUUUUGGAGUCUCAUUCUCUAAUUGGCAGUCCAUGAUCAACUGGAUGCUUCAACGAACACCAAGACUCUCCUCUACCCUGAAGAAGAUCCCAGGCGACAAUUUACUUGUUAUGGCGUGAACGAAACCAGAUAAUACAUGAUGGUCCUCUAUCUUCUGAAAACCAUCUCUUCGAUUAGUUGGAUAGACUGAUUAGAGACACAUUGUUGGCACACAAUCCCAGCGUAACUAUAGGGGUCUUCUAUCUCUUUGGUUUAAGAGCCACUAGUUCUUCAAGCUCGAUUGUAAUUCUACUAAAAUGAUCUGUUUCCAAGCCUUUUUCCUUUUUUUAGGCUUUUGAAACAGUGGCUGAGAGAUUUAUAGAAUAGCAGCGGAUUAAGCAAGAAUAUAGAGAGAUUUAGGUGAGAUUAAUGAAAAACUAAAGAAAAGAAGAGAGAAUCAAGAGAUUUAGAGAAAAAGAUAUGUAUUCUCAUUUUCUUAGAUCUAUAGAAAGCUGCUACAUGUGUUUAAGUAGGAAGACAAAGAAAACCCUAACACAUAUGGGCUUACUAAAUACCUUAUAAAGUUUUAUAAAGUUUAUAAAAUCUUAUAAAGUCUUAUAAAGUCUUUUAAAGUUUUCUAAUUGGAUUCCCACCAGAAAAGCUGAGAAUGAUCCAUCUUGUUUAACAGUGGCUAAUGUAAUAUACAAUAUAAUUCAAAUUUUAUUUUAAAAAAUAUAAGUUGCUUCUUUUGUGGGCAAAAAACAGGUCAUACAAAAGCUCGUCGUUAGUCUUUACAAGUUUCAGAGGACAGUAAUAUAUAAAAUCAUCAAAUUAUAUCGAAAACCCAUUGAGAUACACAAAAGCGUGUGUUCAAGAGGAAAGAAUUGUACAAGAAUAAUCUAUAACAUGUUGCAUCUAAUUGUGUCGAUGUUACAUGGGAUCUUCUUCGUCCAUCUACUAUAGUCAUAACAGGAUGUUAAAGCAAGACUUAAAGAUGAUGGAUCCGAGUCUGAAGUUACAGAAACGUGGAUUAAGCAAUAAAUUGGAGAUGAUGAAAAUAAGUUAUGCCCAAAGUAGCUUAUGAUGUGGAAGUGGGUUUUGUUUUUUUUUUGCGAAUCCUAAAAGAUUAUUGUGUUGUGCUGAUUCUACGUUAGUCUUAGAAGAAUGGAGUGUGUAAAAUAGAGAAAAUUUUAUAAAAGAAGUAACGUUCAUAUGUAGAAAAGCAUGCUUUUGAAUGAAUAAUGACUUGGUUUAUUUUUCUGUUGAAAGAAAAAAAAAUUAUUUAAUAUUUCAAAACGAGUGUAAAAGUGGAAUACUUUCUCGCGACAGAAAAAAUAUUCACUGCUGGUGAUCUAAAUGACGAUCCCAAAUAGACAAAUAAUAUUAGAAAUCUAUCUAUACACUAUUAUUUGCGAGGUUAAAAAUUUUAGGUGUCGUUCCCACAACAAUUGUUCUACAUGGCAUUAAUGAAAAAAUAUUAUUUAUCGUUUUAAUUUGUUUUGAUAAAUCGAUCAUUAAUCCUACGUGUAAAAACUUGUGACUUGGCUUUUUUCUUCGAUAAUGGGCUACAGAAUUUGUUCAUGGGCCAGCGAUUUUGUUUUCACUCAUAGCCACCGAUUCUGGUAAUAGGGCACCAACGUCGAAACCCUAAACUCUAAAGCAUAUAUCCUACUAUAUAUACAUGUAUUAUCUACAUAUAUUUUUACAUACAACAACCGUCUUCAAGGUCUAGCAAUUUUUACAAAACUCGUCCACCUCUAUUACACGAAUACAUCUUUUUUAUAUCCCAAUCUGGUUUAAAAUAUAUCGUUUGUUUAGUUGGUUGUUCUUCCAUGCUAACCUUUGAAUCGUUUUGUUCUGAUCGAGAUUCUUUUAUGCUAACCAGUCAAAUAUCUAUGUUUUUUCUCUAUCAUGUUCUAUAUUACUAUGCAUCACAACUAUCUUAUUUUUUAACCCCUGUUUUACUCUCUAUGCGAUUGGUCAUCGAGAUAUCAUAUUUGUGUUCUUUCUUUUGCUUUGUAAUUCUAUAUAUAAAAUUCGAUGCUUCAGUAUUAGAUAUUCAUGUUUCUCUUUAUUAAAUUUUUCUUAUGGUUAUAUUUGAUAUUAUUCGUAAAUCUAAAUUGACCUGAGCUUCUUUAUUGUUUUCCUUGAACCUAGAGUUCAUCGUGCAAACUAUAUGUGAUUGGUUCAAACUUUUGCAAUCAUAUCUUCAAAUGAAUCUAACAUGUAAUUGUAAAUAAAUCAUUAGUACUUUUUUUGUCAACAACUUAUUAGGACUUCUAAUUUUCUUAAUUGAUAUUCGUAAACUCUCUAAUUUAUUAUUUUGAUAUUCUUAGAAGGAUCAAAACCAUAGAAAUGAGUUUUUUUGUGUGUAUAAUUCAUGUUUUAGUUUAGGUUUGUAUUAAUUUUUCUGGUAACAUAUUGUGAAUGAAUGUUAUUUAUUGUUUGAUUGUUUGAUUGUUCUUUGUUUCUCCUUGGGUUCUACUUUACAUUUUCUUUAUAUUGUUGUUUAUGUUUAUUUUUAUUUCUAAAUAUAAUUUAUGGUUUUCGUGGUAGCUUUUGUGGACAAGUAAAAAAAAAAAAGAGUAACCAGUUCAGAUUAAUUUUGGUUUCAUAGUUUACUAAAGAUAUGUAACAUGAACAAAACGUCUAUUGUUUUAUAACAUUCCCAUUGUUUUCUACCCAAAGGCAAUUAUGUUGGUUCUGGAAAAAAUGUUUUAUAGUUUUGAUUUUUACCCAACACAUUCUUUUAUCAGAAAAACAUUAAAUUACUCUCAAGAUUAAACUUAUCAGGCAUUAAAGCAAUAUCUUUGUUGGUAAGUCGAUGAAUGAGAAUGUGAUGUCUCAUAACUUCAAAGAGCAAAGGAAAAAUAAGUGACAACGAGACUAGAUUCGGUGUGAGUAGAAUCUUUACGCAUGUUAAGUACUUGUUGAUAUACAACAAUCGUAUUGAGAACAGAGUGCAAACCAAUUGCAAAUUGCACCAUCCAAUUGGUGUUAAAUUAUAUUAUGGUUAAUCCCUGACCCAUUUCUUAGUUUCAUCAUUUGUUAAUGAAUCAUCAGUUUUUUUUAACCCCUGAUGAGAGAUAAAAUCAGCUGAAGGAAGGAGAGUCACCAAUACAGAGAAAGAAGAAUUUUUGCUAUAAAAUAUUCAGGUCUUAAUUUUCAUCAUCCUUGUAAUUUGUUUCAGCUUGCUAAAACUACUUUUUUAGUGUUGCAGACUUCAUCAGAAUACCUAAUAAAUUGAUGAUUCUCUGACACCAGAAUCUAAGAAAUAUACUCACACGUGAUAAACUGAAAUUUUUGUGAAUUGCAGAAUGAACAUACUCACACGUUGCAUUUCUCAUAUGUUUUGAUGUCUAACAAGUAAUUCUUGUGUCAUAUAGCUUUGUUGCUUUAAAAUUUUAGUUUUUGAAUUGAAUUUAUCUUAAAACAAUCCAUCCUUUGAUUGCUUCUCUAAAACCAAAAUCUUACAAGACAAAGCUUAUAUUGUAUCUUCGAAGAAGGUUGAAGAAUGAGAUGAAAUCUCGAGUAUGUUUCUAUGUUCAAAAAACUCAAAUCAGAUUGUUAUGUGUUUCUGAAGUUCACUGGUUUAGUACUUGAACACGAGCAAACAGAGAUUGAACACUCAUACAUUGAGUUGGACAAUACUAAAACGGGUCGGAAUCCCUUACUGAAAUGCGUGAGGAAAACACAGAAGCUAAAGAAAAUAAUGGAUGAAAUGAAAAAAGAUAGUUGGGUGGCAAAUAAAUGUGUGAUUGAUAUGAAAAAUUGGAAAAAAGAGAUGACGAAGACUUGAAGGUAAUGAAGAGAACAAAAUUGAGAAGGAGAAGUUGAGGAGAUAAGGCUAAAGCUAUAUUGUAGAAUUUAUCAUUAAUUUAAAGAGAAGAAGAAGACGAAAAAGAAGGGAAAACCUAAGGAGAUAUAAGUUAUGAAUAUAGAGAGGGAGGUAUGGAGAGAGAGAGAGAGAUGGAGAAAGAAGGAGAGAGAGGGAGAUACAGAGAGAGGGGGAGAUACAAAGAGAGGGGGAGAGACAGCGCGAUGGAGAGAGAGGGGGAGUGAGGAGAUACAAAAAGAGAGGGAGAAGGAAGGAGGGAGAUAGAGACAGACAGAGAGAGAGAUGAAAACAUUGUAUGUGCAAGUAAACAAAUCAGAAUAUGAAAACAAGAGAAAAUAUGAAUCAGAAUAAUAAUCAUUCUGAAAAUAUGAAUACAAUGAAGACUGAGAAGCAGUGAAAAGACAAAGAAAAUCAAAAUAAAAUGUCGGGAGACUAGAUGAUGAUGAAGAAAAGGAUGAGGGAUAGGAAGACUGAAAGAUAUGUAAGAGGAAGAAGAAGAAGAAGUAGAAGUAGAAGUCAAAGACGAUGAAGAAAAAGAAGGAAAAAACAAGGAAGAAAAAACUCCGAAAGAUGAAUAAGAGGAAGAAGAGAAAAAUGAAUUCAAUGGAAAGAAGAAGAAUAAAAAUUCGAAGAGAAAGAAGAAAAAUACAUUGAAAUGGGAUAAAAAAGAAGAAUACGAGUAAACCCGGAAAAAAAAUUUCAGGGGAAAGAAUUGAUCAAACACAUCAAAAAAGAGUAAGAAAAAUACGAAGAAGAAAAAAAUAAAAGAUAAGGAAUAUGAAGAAGAGUUGAACAAAGAAGGAGAAAACAAAGAAGAAGACAAAUAAGAAGAGAAAGAAGAAGUAGAAAUAAAAAGAUGAGGAAUAAGAAAAGCGAAAAAUAAAUAAGAAAAAGAAGAAGAAAAGGCAAAGGCGAUAAAAAAUAAUUUCAUUUUAUACAUGAUUCUUCUGAUUGUUUAUAUGUAUUGUAACUAUCUAAGCUUUUGGCUAUAACUGGUCAUUGGUUUUUGUUGUCUUACAGUGUAUAGGUACUUCCUCUCUUCCCUUGUAUAUUUGUACGUGAUUAUCGUGACAUUUCUACGUAGGUAUUAGAGUAUUGAUACUUACGAUCUAAUUACACAUAUAUUGGAUGGUUGGAAGACAAUGAAGAAAAAUAAUAAAAAAAAAGAUGAUAAAGAAGAACAACCAAAAGAUAAAGAAGAAGAAAAAGAAGAAAACGAAUAACCAUUAUGUGGAAAUGAAAAAUUCGUAUUUGUAUUAGUUUAGUUUGUUUGUAAGUUUUAUACAUUUAUUUAGUAUUGCAUUUUGGGUGUUUCAUUUUAUGGAUUUGUUUUAUUUUGGUCAUAUUAAGUCACAAUUGUUUUGAUUUUCUUGAUUCACAUAAUAUAAAGUUUUGUUUUACAAUUUUAAAUCUCUCAAAGGUCCGCGCAAGGAGCUGACAAGACACCUAGUUUUAAUUUAAAUAAAAACAGAUUUUAUUUGAAUUCAAAAUGAUUAUUGGUAAGCCGGUGAUCACUUUGUAUUUUAAAACUUAAAAUUUUUUUUUAAGUUAAUACUCUUCUUCCCUAAAUAUUAAAAAAAGAAUGGGCAUUAUGACAAUCUUACUUUGUCUUGUAAAGAAAAAACUUAUGUUUUUCCUAACUCGAACGUUACAUCAUUAAUCGAAAUUAAAAUGUUCGACCUGAUAAAGAUACAUUCCAAACACGAGAAGCAAACGUAGCUGCGUAUCUUCUAUCAUAGCUGUAUCAAGUAUUGAGUAUGGUAAUCGAUUUGUAUUAUUGAUGAAGUAUAGUCACAAUAUAUACAAGAGGAGAGGCCAAUAUACAACGGUAAUCUACAUUAACUAUAUGAGCGAUUAUAGGAGAUGAUUAUAGGAUAUGAUGAGAUAUGAGGAAUAUGUGUUUCCAUAUUCUAUCACACCCACUCAAGAUGGACGGCCUGGUGAGAGUCUGAUCUUGACAAAAAGAGUUUGUAAUCGAGCUCGGGAGAGUGGUGUCGUGAGAGCAUCAGCCAACUGAUCCGGAGAUGUGACAUGAGUAACUCGCAGCUGGCCAGGCUGAACAAACUGGCGUACGAAAUGGUAGUCUAAAGCGAUAUACUUCAUCCUAGAAUGAAAAACAGAGUCUAUUGCUGCCAAAUAUGUAGCUCCUAUGUUGUCAGAAUAAAUGACUGGAGUGGAGGUGACAUUGAGGCCCAAUUCUGAUAGGAGAGAUGAAAUCCAGCAAACUUCAGCAGUGCUAGACGCGACUGAGGUAUUCAGCUUCGGUAGAAGAGCGAGAGACCCCAGUUUGUUUCUUCGAGGACCGAGCAAUGGGAUGACUUCCGAAGUAGACAAUAUAAGCAUUUGUGGAUGUGUAGUCGUCUUUGUUACCCACUCAAUCAGCAUCGGUGAAGGCAUGCAGAUCUGGUUUGUUGUUCGCUCGUAGAUAGAUGCCGUGAGAUAUAGUACCAGAGAGGUAGCGCAGGAUUCUUUUUACGGCAGUCCAAUGUUCAGUGGUCGGACGAUGCAUGAACUGAGAUAGUUUGUUAACAGAGAACAAGAUAUCAGGCCUAGUAAGGGAGAGAUAUUGAAGACUCCCCACAAUAAUUUGGUAUUCUGUUGCAUCAUCUAAGGCAGUACCGGAGAGAAGAGUGAGCGAUGAGUUGGCUUCCAUUGGUGUUGAGACAUGUUUAGCAUUGGUCAUGUUGGCCUUGUGCAUUAAAUCUGCAAUAUAACGACGUUGUGUUAGGUGUAGUCCAUCUUUCGUACGAGUUACCUUAAUACCUAAAAAUAAGAUAAAUCACCUAAGUCUUUAAGGGAGAAACGUUGAGAAAGGGAAGCGAUAAACCGAGAAAUAUGAGAGGAACUGUUGCCAGUGAUUAUGAUUUCGUCGACAUAAACAAGCAUGUAGAGAAGAAUGUCGUUCUGCUUAUAUAUGAACAGAGAGGCAUCAGCGACAGAGUUUGUGAAGCUGGAUUGAGGGAGAAACGUGCACAGCUCAUUGUACCAAGCUCUUGGAGCUUGUUUAAGGCCGUAGAUGGCUUUAUGGAGUUUGCAUAUUGCUUGUGGAUUUUCUUUGUCUUGGAAACCAGGCGGUUGGAUCAUAUAAACUUCAUUUUGAAAAUGUCCUUGUAAGAAGGCAUUGUUGACGUCAAGUUAUCGCAUCGACCAAUUCCGUGAAAAAGCUGUUGCGUCUACCACUGCUGAAGUUUGCUGGAUUUCGUCUCUCCUAUCAGAAUUGGGCAUCGAUGUCACAUCCACUCUAGUCAUUUAUUGUAACAACAUAGGAGCUACAUAUUUGGCAGCAAACCCUAUUUUUCAUUCUAGGAUGAAGCAUAUCGCUUUAGACUACCAUCUCGCACGUCAGUUUGUUCAGUCUGGUCAGCUGUGGGUUACUCAUGUCACAUCUGCGGAUCAGUUGGCUGAUGCUCUCAUGAAACCACUCUCCCAAGCUCGAUUCCAUACUCUUUCUAUCAAGAUCGGACUCUCACCAGGCCAUCCAUCUUGAGGGAGUGUGAUAGAAUAUGAAAACACAUAUUCCUCAUAUCUCGUCAUAUCCUAUAAUCAUCUCCUAUAAUCGCUCAUAUAGUUAAUGUAGAUUAACGUUGUAUAUUGGCCUCUCCUCUUGUAUACAUUGUGACUAUACUUCAUCAAUAAUACAUAUCGAUUACCAUACUCAAUACUUGAUACAGCUAUGAUAGAAGAUCAGCAGUUACGUUUGCUUCUCGUGUUUGGAAUGUAAUCUUUAUCAGGUUGAACAUUUUAAUUUCGAUUAAUGAUGUAACGUUCGAGUUAGGAAAAACAUAAGUUUUUUCUUUACAAGACAAAUUAAGAUUGUCAUUAUGCCCGUUCUUCUUUAAAUAUUUAGGGAAGGAGAGUAUUAACUUACUCAAACUCGAAAGGAAAAGCAAUGGUGUAGUAUAGGAGUAUCCAUUAACGAUCUGUAACGAACAUUACUAAACGACUCAUGUUUCAAAUGAAGAAAAUUAUAAUUUACUAACAAUUAUUUUGGGUAUAUCUUACGGUCUUACAUGGUGUUUAAAACUCUCUUAUCCUAAGAUAUAACAACAAAAUACCAUAUUCGUAUUCAUUUAGUAUAAUCUUUUUUUUUUCCUUACUUUACCGUUACAUCAUUCAAGCAAACAACACCUUUUGAUCAACACAAUAAUAGAACACACAAAUGAAUUACAGAACGUGAGUAGUGUUAAAAAGAGAAAAUUUUACUUGACAACAAAUCAAAUGAGAAUUUUCACACAAAAACAAGAAAAAAAAAAGAGAGAAAACUUAUUACCCUGAAAUUGAAUAUUCUAUUUUCAGAGAAAUAUGAAACACUCUACGCAACAAGCGGGUUCUCUAACAAUUCCUCAGUGGUAUAACCGUAAUUCUGAUACUGUUGCUGAUCCGACCCGUUUUUGCUCGGAUCUAGCCUAACCCGAGCCGGAGGCUGAUUGUUUUUCAUAGUCCCUGCCCCACCCACCCGACUCUGAUUCGAAUCCAUCAUGGAUCUGUUCGUUGCCGGUGAUCUCGUCCUUCUUCCGGAUCUCUCACCAUUACACGUACCCGAACCGAAUCUCGCUCCAUUACACGUACCGGUGUUUCUCUUACGAGGAGAUUGAUCGGUUCUUCUUCGGGUCGGGUAAUUAUUCCCUGUGACCCGGGUCCAAGAUUUAGCCGGAGAUCUCUGAGACAUGACUAUAAACCACCUCGACCUCACGAAGAUUCGCCAUACUCACCAGCAAUGGCUUUUCUUCAAAACCGAGAAUACACAGAUAAUUGAUGCAGUUAGCCAACCUUGGAUCGCCUAUGUGGAGUAGUUGUCGUUUUGGUGUCUAAGUCGUUUCUUAAUGGGCUUGCGACAUCAGGUGGGCUUCUACGUUUUACAAGUCUCGACUAAAAACAAGAGCUGGGCCUUACGGGAAAAUUGGCCCGAGCUCAAGGUUGUUAAAAACAAUCAUCGUUGACCAAGUCUUCGUCUUCUACAAUUGGAAUAACAGAACAGAGAGAGAGCGAAUUCUACAGAGUUCUAGAGAGAGAAAGUUUUCUUCUCGGUGAUCGGAGUUACAGCGAUCGGGUUGGUCGAUCUCGGAGGUCUCUGCGUCGAUUCUUUUCCAAGAGUUUUCCCUGCAAAUAGCUGUAGAAAGAUUCAGCAAAAGGUUCACUUGUAUAUCUGUUCUAAACGUUGAUAUAGUGAACGCAUGGUAGUUUAGUUCUACCCCCAGACGUACCGCGAGGGAACUGGGUUAACAAGUUUGCCUGUGUCAUUAGUCUAGAUUCUUCCGCAAGAACACCUUAGUUGAAUCUAGCUCAAUCGAAUUGAUCAAGCUUUUGGGACUAAGAAAUUGAUUCUAGUGUUAGUCGGAUUUCUUAACAAAGUGGUAUCAGAGCAUAGGCUUAUAGAUCGCCGGAGGGAUUACGGUUAAGUGAUCAGGGGGCGAUCUUGGAUCUGAGUUCGAUUGGUUAUCUUUGAAAUUCCUGAAGUCAGUCGAGUUUCUUCUUGGACCAAGUUAUUACUGCAUUCUUUUGGUCUUGGCUCAAGAACAGGAAAGAUGGAAGCAGUUAAGAAGUUUGAGAUGGAGAAGUUUGAUGGCAAAGGUGAUUUCGGUAUGUGGAAGUUUCGCAUGUUGAUGCAACUUGAGUUGCAAGGUUUUGGGAAACAAGUAAAGGAAAUCACAGGAGAGGUUAAGGAUGACACAAAAGGCAAGGACUUAGAAGAAGUGGACUCUGAAACAGGUGUGGCGUUAACUCCGGACCAGAUCAUAGAAAGAGAUGUGAGAAUCCGGAAUCUCAUAUGCUCAAGCUUAACAUCAAUGGUCCUCAGAAAAGUCAUGAAGGAAACGACAGCAGCUGGUGUGUGGAAAGCCUUAGAGGCUGAUUAUCAGACGAAGACUCUACCUAACAGAAUCUAUCUCAAGCAACGGUUUGCAAGUUACAGGAUGGACAAGAAUAAAUCAAUAGAUGAAAACAUGGAUGGUUUCUUGAGACUGGUUGAUGAGUUGGAAAGUUUGAAUAUCCAGAUAAGCGAUGAAGAUUAAGCCAUUCAAGUGUUGUCCGGGUUGCCCGAACAGUAUGCUUCUUUGGUGCACACAUUGAAGUAUGGAAACAAAGGCAAGGAUACCCUGACACUAGCUGAAGUGGUGCAAUCAGCUCACGCAAAGGAGGUGGAGCUUCGUGAGUCUGGUCUCUUGAAUAAGUCAAACCACACAUCAGAAGGGUUAUACGCGGGUCAAGGAAAGUCUGUAAAGAAAAGCAAAGGAAAGUUUGCUGGGGGAAAACAGAAGUCUGGGAAAUCAAAGAAGGAUUCCCAGGGAGGACAAGUCAAAGCACGAGAGUGCUGGGUGUGUGGCAAGGAAGGUCAUUUUAAGAAAGACUGUCCACAAAAGAAAACUCAGGCAUCCUCAAGCUCAGCAAAUUUGGCUCAAGAAAGUGAGAAACCAAUGAUUCUCACGGCGAGCACAAAAUAUGCUAAAGACGAGUGGGUGCUGGAUUCAGGGUGUACGUUUCACAUCACACCAGAAAAGGAUCUACUAUUUGAUCUCACGGAAUUUAAUGGAGGAAAAGUGUUAAUGGGAAAUAACACAUUUAGUGAGAUCAAAGGUAUAGGAAAACUGAAGAUUGUUAAUCCAAGCAAUUCAACAGUUGUUCUAACUGAGGUAAGAUACAUGCCAUCAAUGGGCAGAAAUCUGAUUUCCUACGGACAGUUGGAAAAGGAAGGAUGUUCUUAUGAAGGGAAAGAUUUCACGGUCACAUUCAAAAAGGAUGGGAAGAAUGUUCUUACUGGAAAGUAUAAAGACGGGCUCUACUACUUACAAGGGUCAGUAGUUGAAGGAGAGGUGGAUACAGUUUCUAGAGCUGCGGUUAAUCUGACAAACAGGUGGCAUUCCAGGUUGGGGCACAUGAGCUUAAAGAAUAUGAAUCAGUUGGUUAAAGAUGGUUAUCUUAACAAAAAGGAAGUUCAUACUCUGGAUUUUUGUGAAGAAUGUGUUCUUGGGAAAGCACACAAGUUAAGUUUUCCAACAGGCAAGCAUACAUCAACCGUGAACUUAGAAUAUGUUCACAGUGAUCUUUGGGGAUCUGCAGCGAAUUCUGAGAGCUUAUCAGGCUGUAAAUAUUUCUUGACCAUCAUUGAUGACUAUUCCCGAAAGGUCUGGAUCAGAUUUCUAAGGAGUAAAGAUGAAGUGUUUGGAAAUUUUUCAGAAUGGAAGCUCUUGGUGGAAAAUCAGACGGGUAAAAAGAUCAAGUGUCUCAGGACGGAUAAUGGGUUGGAAUUUUUCAAUGUUCAAAUGGACAAGAUAUGCAAGGACUCAGGAAUAAAGAGGCAUAGGACCUGUACCUAUACUCCACAGCAAAAUGGGGUUUCAGAAAGGAUGAACAGGACCAUUGCUGAUAAGGUUAGGUGUAUGUUAGCGGAAUCUGGAUUGGAGAAAAAGUUUUGGGCAGAAGCAGCAUCUACAGCAGUAUAUCUCAUCAACAGGACACCUAAUGCAUCACUUAAGUUCAAGAUACCAGAAGAGUUGUGGUCAGGGACAAAAAUCGGAUAUGAUCAUCUCAGAAGGUUCGGGUGUAUAGCUUAUGUUCAUACUAUUCAAGACAAGAUCAGUCCUCGGGCUUUAAAAGGUAUUUUUAUGGGGUAUCCUCAUGGAACCAAGAGUUACAGGAUCUGGUUGUUAGAAGAACAAAAGACUACAAUCAGCCGAAAUGUUAUCUUUGAUGAAUCCAGGGUGUAUAAGGAUUUGGGGAAAAAUGAAGAAGAAAGCCUUGAACUUAGUGAAAAGGUUGUCAUUAACCCAAAGACUAAGAAGGUCCCAGGCUCAAGGGUCACAAGAGUAAACAGAGCAGGCUCAUCUGGAAGGAGACGAUCUACGGUUCAAGGUGGAGCUGUUUCAGUUGAGUCAGAAGAUUCAGAUACCGAAGAAAAUGGGUCUGAGGGUGAUCAAGAAGAUGGUUCUGAACAGGAAAAUGCAGGGGUGGAAGAAAAUCUAGAUAACUAUAUCUUAGCUAGGGACAGAGAAAGAAGAACGAUUCGUCCCCCAGCAAUGUUUGAAAGUGGGGACUAUGUUGCUUAUGCCCUAGCAAGUGCAGAAUUGAUUGAACCUCAAGAACCGAGAACUGUUUCAGAAGCGAGAAGAAGUAAAGAGUGGAAACAGUGGAAUGAGGCCAUGGUAGAGGAGAAGCAAUCUCUUGAUAAAAAUCACACAUGGGACAUUGUGGAUAGACCUCAGAAAAAGAAGAUCGUUGGUUCGAAAUGGAUUUUCAAAUUGAAAGAGGGAAUUCCAGGAGUUGAACCACCUAGAUACAAAGCAAGACUUGUAGCUAAGGGAUUCACUCAGGUGGAAGGAAUAGACUACAACGAGAUCUUCUCUCCAGUAGUGAAACAUGUCUCGAUAAGGAUAAUGCUAUCAGUGGUUGUGAAUUUCGAUAUGGAACUCGAGCAACUAGACGUGAAGACUGCAUUCCUUAAUGGUAAACUAGAUGAAACUAUUUACAUGGAACAACCAGAGGGUUUUAUCGAGAAAGGAAAUGAAGGAAAGGUAUGUCUGUUGAAGCGGUCUCUUUAUGGUUUAAAACAGUCGCCGAGACAGUGGAAUCACAGGUUCAAUGAGUUCAUUCAGUCACAAGGUUUUAAGAGAAGUGUGAAGGAUCCAUGCGUGUAUUACAAAGGUUCAGUUGUGGAGGAUAGUGUCUACUUGUUAUUAUAUGUUGAUGACAUGUUAAUAGCAGCUAGAGACAUGGUGAAGAUCAGGGCACUAAAGAAGAGUUUGAGUGCAGAAUUUGAAAUGAAGGAUCUUGGAGCAGCUAACAGAAUUUUGGGAAUGGAGAUCAUAAGAGACAGGAAAAAGGGAAUUCUGAAGCUUUCACAGGCAAGAUACAUAAGUCAAGUUUUAAGGACGUUUAACAUGAAAGAAAGUAAGCCUGUUGUCACGCCAAUAAACUCAUUGUUCAAACUUAGAAGUUUAUCAGAGGAGGAGUUAAGGGUUGAAGCUUCUCUAAUGGAAUCAGUUCCCUAUGCAAGUGCAGUGGGAAGUCUGAUGUAUGCCAUGAUUGGGUCAAGACCGGAUUUGGGUUAUGCAGUUUGUUUGGUGAGUCGGUUUAUGGCAAAGCCAGGAAGGAAUCAUUGGGCUGCUGUUAAAUGGGUUUUGAGGUAUCUUCGGGGAGCUACAGAUUUAAGUUUGACUUUCUCAAGGGCUGAUUCAAUGGAAAUUGAAGGUUUCAGUGAUUCAGAUUAUGCUACUGAUCUUGACAGAAGAAGAUCAGUAACAGGUUAUGUUUUUCAGGUUGGAGGAAAUACUGUUAGUUGGAGGUCCACAUUGCAGCAUGUAGUGGCUUUGUCCACCACAGAGGCUGAAUAUAUGGCCAUGUCAGAAGCAACUAAGGAAGGUUUAUGGUUAAGGGAAUUUUGCAACGAGUUGGGGUUUAAUUUUGAGUAUUUUAAGCUACAUAGCGACUCUCAGAGUGCUAUCAAUUUGGCUAAAAAUGCAGUUCAUCAUGACAGGACAAAGCACGUUGCUACCAAGAUUCAUUUUAUCCGAGACAUCCUAGAUGAAGGGCUAAUCCGCAUUGUUAAAGUUCACACUACUCUAAAUCCGGCAGAUAUGUUGACUAAGAGUUUACCUGGAAAUUCUUUCGAGAAGUGCCUCGUAACUCUCAAAGUCGUCGCCUGAUCGUCUACAGGCGUACUCGUUGAUGGCUCUGUUGGUUGGGCCAUCUCGCACGAGAAAUAAGGAGGAACAGGGUUAGUUUCUCGGUGGAAAAGAUUAAACCAACAAAGUUCAGAAGGUAAAUUCUGAGGUAUCUGGUAAAAGAUAAACAGGAGAAGAGUUUUGGUGUACAUGCAUGUGUUGAGGGGACUUACUUAGCACAAGGAGGAAGCGCAUCGUACUCUUGCAUCUCGGCCUGAGCUGUUUUUUCUCGGGAUAAGGAGAAGUCACGGCGAAGAAGAGAUAGAAGUUAGUAUAACUUCGUGUUUCUAAUUCUAAGAUCUGAAGAGAAGUUCAGAGGUCACUUACUUAGAGGAGAACUGAAGUCGAUUGGAGCUGGAGGCGGCGGUAAGGUCAGCGACGGUGAGGUCGGAGGAACCAAGGUCGUGAGCAGGAUCGAUUCAGGAGGUGUUUGCGGUGGAGUAGCUGGAGGAGUCAAAGGAGGUGACUCCAUAACCUAAGUCGCUGUUGAGUCGGCUAGGGUUGGUGAAGAGACAAGACAACGACAAAGGUGGAGAUUUGUGGAGUAGUUGUCGUUUUGGUGUCUAAGUCGUUUCUUAAUGGGCUUGCGACAUCAGGUGGGCUUCUACGUUUUACAAGUCUCGACUAAAAACAAGAGGAGCUGGGCCUUACGGGAAAAUUGGCCCGAGCUCAAGGUUGUUAAAAACAAUCAUCGUUGACCAAGUCUUCGUCUUCUACAAUUGGAAUAACAGAACAGAGAGAGAGCAAAUUCUACAGAGUUCUAGAGAGAGAAAGUUUUCUUCUCGGUGAUCGGAGUUACAGCGAUCGGGUUGGUCGAUCUCGGAGGUCUCUGCGUCGGUUCUUUUCCAAGAGUUUUCCCUGCAAAUAGCUGUAGAAAGAUUCAGCAAAAGGUUCACUUGUAUAUCUGUUCUAAACGUUGAUAUAGUGAACGCAUGGUAGUUUAGUUCUACCCCCAGACGUACCGCGAGGGAACUGGGUUAACAAGUUUGCCUGUGUCAUUAGUCUAGAUUCUUCUUUCCGCAAGAACACCUUAAUUGAAUCUAGCUCAAUCGAAUUGAUCAAGCUUUUGGGACUAAGAAAUUGAUUCUAGUGUUAGUCGGAUUUCUUAACAGCCUAAUAUAUGCUUCAAACCCAACUCGGUAGAGAUCGUUUUGUCUAGAACUUGUAGAUACUCCAAGGGCUGCAGCUCCGUCAACAAGCUAACAUCUCCAUGAACUUUAGAAUCUUCUAGUUUCAAAAUUCUUAAACUCGACAGCUUUGAUAUCCCACUGAUAAUAUGAUUUAACUUCAGAUAAAUUAGCUUUUUCAUAUCUUGGAAACCAAGUGCCAGUUGCUCUAUACUUGUGUUCCACAAGUUAAGAUACUGCAACGAAGCCAGCUUCGAUAUCUGCUCAGGAAAUUCUUUGAAAUCGAAAUUAUCUGAUAGAUCCAAAACAACUAGCUUUUGCAUAGAGCCGAUGAAUUCACCUAGAAAUUUCUUCAAACUAUUAUUCUGGAGGAGCAGAGUUGUAAAGUGUUCUGAAGAGUUGUAAGUUCAGAACACUUGGAACCGCAUGUUAUCUCUUCAAUAUUAUUUUUCAGAAAUCCUUCUCAUAUCUCCCCAAUCCUUAAAUUUUGGCAUUUCGCAUCAUCUGACUCCUGCUUGUAUUAAGAGAUAUUAGAAGAUAUUAGGCUUAUUGGACGUUGUAUAGAUAAUUAUUAGAAUUAUUAGAGUAAUUUGUUGAUCUCCAACAGGUUUUGACUCAAAAACGUUUUGACACAACUGACUCUUAAGAAAAACAAACACAAUGUCAGCAACUACCUCCCCCAGACUUGAAUAACACUGUCCCCAGUGUUAUCUAGUCCGAAGGUGGCGAAACAAAAUAAAAGAAACAGAGAAACGCAGGAAAAACAGAGAACUUACCUGGCUGCAAUGAUGGUGUCGCGCGACACUGAUGAUGGUGUCGUGCGACACUUGUUUUCCUCGUACCGAAUUGCAGCAGACCAAUCCGAAUUUCUGGUUUGACUCCGGUUGCCUGAUUUCCUAAAUUUCUUUUUUUUUUUUUAAAUAGAAGCAAGUGACAAGCGACACCGAAGGUGGUGUCGCUCGACACUAACAUCUGCUUCACCUGAGACACGAAAAGAAAAACGAAAAUCAACUGAAACAAAAAGACUUAUGCACAGACUCACCAGUGGAUUGCCUUCCACCAAGCGCUUGUUUAAAGUCAUUAGCUUGACUAUGGAUAGACUAUGCAUCUGGUGGAUCAGACAGUGGCAAAGAGUGCCUCUGUGAAAUUCGUCUCAUCCAUGGUGGUGUGUAAGCGUUGUGCGCAUGAGGUCGUCCAAGGAAUGCAGGAAUAGCACCAGGGUGAGAUCUGUGUUUGGGUGGCCUUGACCUAUUCCCUGCAAUAUCAUCAAACGAAAAACCAAGUGCUCUACGAUAAUCUCGUAGCUUGCGUUGUGAGACAGAGCCUGCAUCCUUUGAAUCAGUUCCAAUGAUAUCACGAGAAUUAGGCUUAGGCUCAAGAGGUGCGUAUCUUUGCUUUGGUGGAGAUGGAUGGAGUGCAAUGUUUGGAGCUUCCUGAUCAACAGCAGUCACUGGUUCUGUGGACGUUUUCGUCAACUCAGAUUGAUCUCUCACCAUCUCAGCAUCAAACACGUUCUGAUCUCCAACUAUCACCUCAGGUAUUGCAGUGACUUGGAAUGUCUGACCAUCUAUGGUGGGAUCCUUCAGAUCUUCCCAGGAUAAGAGGAUCUUUGGGUUCCUCUCCAUAUUGCAGAACCACGAAAUCUGUAGGAAUUAUGCAAUCACCAACUUUGAUUGGAACAUCUUCCAAGACACCUUUUGGGAUUCUUUUAGACCGAUCUGCUAGGAUCAAAGAGAUCUUAGUUGGCUUGAAGUCAGUCAUCCCAAGGCUAACAGCUACAGAGUGUGGCAUGAGGUUGACACUCGAACCAAGAUCACACAGCGAUCUCUUGAACCUCUCUGAGAAGAUAGAGCAGUCCAAAACAAAACUUCCUGGGUCCGAGAGCUUUUCUGGAAUCUUAUUAUGAAUCACAGAACUGACAUGUUUAGAGAUCAUCAUCGCUCCUUCCUCAUGACCCACAUUAUUAGUCACCAUCUUCUUCACAUAGUGUCUGAGAGUAGGAGCAAUCUUCACAGCAUCAACCAAAGGAAUCUCAAUCACAAGCUUCUCCAUCAAAAACUUGCAUCUGGCAUCAUCUAGCUCCUGCUUGGACUUCCUAGGACUCCUUGGGUAAGGAACCUUAGGUUUGUAAACCUUUUCCUCAGCAGAUUUCGGACUUUGAGCAAUAUUAGCUUUGCUCUGCAAUUGGUGACGCGCGACACUGGUUGUGGUGUCGCUCGACACUGGCUCUGCAGUUUCGAAAUUUUUUUCAGAUUCGUCAAACUCCACGAUUUCAUCCUCAAAAACACCCUUUUUCAGCACAGGAGUCAACUUUUUACCACUCCUUGACGAGAUGGCACUGCAGUAAUGCCUAGGAUUGGUAUCAGUCUUCCCAGGAAGGAAUCUUUCUUGCCUUUUUACAGACUCUGCAGUCUGAGCAACCUGAGUAUCAAGCUUCUUGACAUGAGUGUUCAGAACUUCAAUUUUUCCAUUCAGAUCCAGAUAUAGAGCAUCAAUCUUCCCAUUGAAAUCCACAGUCAUCUUCUGCUGACCUUCCAAAAUCUGUUCCAGCAUAGACUUCACCUCAUUAUCUGGAGUUUGAGUAGGAAGAGAACCAUAGUUCCUUGAAAACCUGUUGUUGGAGUAGGAUGUCUGGUACUGAGGUUUGGAGCUGUAACCAGAAGAGUUCUGAUUACCUGUGAAGGUACUCCUCUGAUUAUUUCCAUUGUAAUUCGUGUUCCCUUGCCCAGAACCAAAUCUCUGACCCUGAAAUCCAGCUCCAUUGAUGAAGUUAACAUCCUCUUCCUCAAAAGCUUCAUCUGGUCCGAAAUUCUGAACUCCUGCAGGGUAUCUGACAGAUUUCUUACCCACAAGAAGACUAUGCACAGAGUCAAGCUUAGCCUUCACCUCAGCAAUUUGCGAUCCAUCCAGGUUCCCAGCCUGCUUCCUUCGCCGAUAGUCUGCAUUCUUGGUACUAUUGCUAGAUGCCAAGUUUUCGAUGAGCUCAACAGCUUCGUCUGGGUAUCUGGUGUUGAAGUUUCCAUUGCUCGCUGCAUCAAGAGCCAUCUGAUACCUCCAGUCGAUACCUCUAAAGAAAAUACCCAGCAACUGCACAUCGCUGAAGCCAUGAUGGGGACAGUCUCGCUGGUACGAUUUGAAUCGCACCCAGGAAGCUUUGAACGCUUCAGUUGGUUCCUGAGAGAAUGUCGAAAUUUUCGUCCUCAACUCCUCAGACCUAGCAUCAUCGAAGAAGUUGUGCAGGAAAGCAUUCCUGGUCUCUUCCCAAGUAGUGAGUGAUCCUGGCUCCAACUGCUUCAACCAGUUAGCUGCCUCUCCAGCAAGAGAGUAAGGAAACAGCUUGCAGAGGAGGAAAUCAUUGGACACUCCAUUGUAUUUGAUGCUGGUGACCAAGUCCUCAAACCUCUCGAUGUGAUCCAUAGGGUGCUCAUGAGAAAGACCAUGGAAAGGAUGCUGACCCACGAGAGUGUAAUACACAGGCUUGAGCUCAAAAUCAUUCCUCUGAAACGCAGGAGCGCGAAUCGCAGACCGAUUUGCAUAGAAUUGCUCAGGCCUGUUGUAGUCACCCAGCGUCCUGAUGAUGUUACCCUGUCCAUCAAGUCGCUGGCCUCUCUCAUUGCACACAUGACCCUCUCGGUCUCUCCAGAUUCUAUCAUCAUCACGAACAAGUCCAAUGGCGUUUUCCAUCAUUGCCGGAUCUCUUGCUUUCCUGUUCGUUCGCUCUAACUCAGCUAGCUCCUCGUUGCUCAAAUUAACUAGCGGGAUGUCCUUGUUGCUCCUGGUUCCACGAGUAUGCAUAAACCUGAAACACCAAAAACAAAGAGAGAAAACGAGAUAAGUAAACUAGGUUAUAAAAAGAAGGGUGUCGCGCGACACUAGGUCGAAAAACUUAGUCGAAACUCAAAAACUAGGUUCAAUGGCGAAAUCAAGUCCCCGGCAACGGCGCCAAAACUUGAUCUGCUCAAAGUUUAAUCCCUAGAGCUACUCUGCAAGAGCACAGAUGUGCAAUUGUAGUAUAAUAGGGGUCGAACCACAGAGACGAGAGAUCACUCAAUAAACCUUAUAGAGAUUGAAUUACGCUAAGCAGAAAUAUUGUAAAUAAAUAGCAAUGCAACAGAAUUAGACUAAGCAGCAAUAAAAACGGUUUGUAAGAUUCAGAUGGAUGGAGAUUAGGCUUAGGGCGUUUCUCAGGAAAUCAAUGCAUGCAGAACAAUCGAUAAAUUAGGGUUCAGGUUUAAGCACGGUUCUUGAACUCGAAUCACAGAAUUAUAAUUAACCAACUUCCGUUGUGAGAAUUAUCUAAGUUAAAAUCCUAGAAUUCCAAAUUCCUUUGCAAACCCUAAAGAUUUAAACCAGCUUUAAUGCUCAAGUUCGAUAUGUUCACAAAGUAUCUAAACCAAAUUCCUUUGCGAAUAGCUACUUUGCUCACCCUAGGUUCUUUCCAGUUAUUCAAUUACACUUCCGUGUCAAUUAAGCAACCUAAGAUCUAAGUGCUAGGUGGCCAAUCCAGAAUUAGCUUUAAGAACAACCUAUGGUGAAGAACUAAAUAGAUUAUGAACCCUAACUAACCAAUCAAUCUAACAUCCAAUGAAAUCCUUUAUGAGAACCCUAAACCUAACAAGCAAACUACUCAGACAUGGAGAUUGAAGCAAUAAGCAUCAAUGAAUAGAUUGCAGAAAACAGUAAAUAGAUUAAUAAACAGGGGUUCGAAAUCUUCUCUCUCCGGAACAGAGUUUCAGACUUGUCUCCCCAAAAACUCUCAAAAACAAAAACUCUCUCUAAGAAAAUCUAAGGUAAUCGUAAAAAGGGAAUAAAAGCCCUAUAUAUAUCUCUAAGACACGUUUUGGGCUUCCUUGAAAACGUUUGGGCCCAACUCCUUCUUCAAAUAGGAAACAAAAUCACGUUUUCCUUAUUUCUGCAACAAGUGUCGCGCGUCACUCUCCAUGGUGUCGAGCGUCACUAAAGCACAAAAUCCAUACUUGACGAAUUUGAUCCUGAUUAAGCUCCAAAGUGCUCCAAAGUCUCCAGUUAAGCUCCAAACGUACCUAUGACCUGAAAAGACUCCAAAAGACUCGAAAGACACUAAAAAGACUCUAUAAAUAAGACUUAUACCAUGGUUAAAAACCAUAAAAACCAUGAUAUAUCAUUUGUCUCACAUUGCUAGUUUUUAACUCAAGGUUGACUAAUGUACGUAUUUUUAGGCAGAUGAAUAAAUCACUUCCGCAAAUUACUUUGACAUGGUAUCAGAGCCUAAGACUACAUAAAAUUUUGGUCUAGCUCUUGAAUCAGAGCCUAAGGCUACAUAAAGUUUUGGUCUAGCUCUUGAUUCAAAUUCUUGUUUAUAAGUUGUGGUUUAUUGGAAAAGCAAACCGACGAGGUCUUGCUCUUUUAUUUUUGGUGAACUCGGACCAACGAGGUUCGGGAUUUCUGUAAAGCCAUAAGGGCUUGGAAUUUUUUUAUUCGGUGGAGAAACCUUGGGAAUUUCUCUGUUUUUUAGAAAAUAUGAGAUUUCAGAGUUGAGGAAUUAAGUGUUCUUAUUGUUCGAAGUAUGGUCAUGAUAUGAGAUCAUGUUAUCAGGUAUAUGGAUAUCCAGAUUGGUAGCUGGAGAAGUAUGAAAAACCUACGAAACAUGUGUCACACUCUGAAAAACGUGUGUCACACACGGAGGCGUUACAGGUUGAUCCACAAGCUAUGACAGGGCUCAAGAAAGAUCAAUGGCAUAAGCUUGUUCGAUUCGAGAUUAGAGAUAGCAAAUUGUGUGAGUGAUAACACCUAUACAGAUAAGUGGAUUAUUGAUAGUGGUGCGUCGCACCAUAUGAUGGGUACGUUAAUUGGUAUGUUUGAUGUGCAUAAAGUCUCACCAUGUUUAGUGGGUCUGCCUAAUGGAAAUGUUAUGGUUGCUGUUAGAAAAGGAAGUGUGGCAUUGACGGAGAACUUAACUUUGACACAUGUGCUUUUUGUCAAGUAACUCAAGUACAAUCUCAUCUCUGUGUCACAGAUUAUUGAUCCAAUGAAUUGCAUUGUGUUGUUCUCCAAGCAAAUGUUUCGGAUACAGGAUCUUGCUUUGCAAAUUCUGAUUGCAGUGGGUGAAAGAAAAGAUGGAUUGUAUUUUCUUCAAGGUAUUCAGAAGACCGUGAAUGUGGCGAAGGUCAGUAAGUUGGGAUCUUUGGAACUUUGGCAUAAAAAGAUGGAACAUGCUUCUGAAAAGGUUAUUAGGAGAUUGCCAGAAGUGGAUCAAAAGAGUGUUAGUGUUUCCGAUUGCGAUGUCUGUUUCCGAGCAAAGCAGUGUCAGGAUGUAUUUCCUGUGAGUACAGAGAAAAGCAAAGAAUGCCUUGAGAUGAUUCAUUGUGAUUUGUGGGGGCCAUAUCGAACACAGAGCGUGUGUGGAUCCUUAUAUUUUUUAACUAUCGUGGAUGAUUAUUCUAGAACUGUGUGUGUUUUUCUUCUUGCUGAUAAAACACAAGUUCAUAAAACAAUGGUAAAUUUCUUUGCUCUCAUUCAGCGUCAGUUUGAGAAACAUGUGAAAAUCGUGCGAAGUGAUAAUGGUAGUGAAUUCAUGGGUAUGAAGGAGUAUUUUUGUACAUCAGGGAUAAUUCAUCAAACUUCGUGUGUAGGAACUCCUCAACAAAAUAGUAGAGUGAAGCGAAAACAUCAACAUAUACUGAAUGACGCACGAACGUUGAGGUUUUAGGCAAAUUUACCAAUAGAACUUUGGAGUUAUUGUGCUUUGAGUGCUGCGUAUCUAAUUAAUCAUACGCCUUCUAUGUUACACAAUGGUAAGAGUCCUUAUGAAAUCAUCUUUGGAAAAGCUCCUGCUUAUAGUGAGAUACGAGUUUUUGGAUGUUUAGCGUAUGCUCAUAAUCAGAAACGUCAUGGAGAUAAAAUUGCGAGUAGAAGCAUAAAAUGUGUAUUUUUGGGAUACCCUUAUGCAAAGAAGGGAUGGAACUUAUUUGACUUGGAGACACGUGAGAUCUUUGUUUCUCGGGAUGUCACUUUUAUUAAGGAACGAUUCCCAUAUUUGGAGCUAACAAAUGCACAGCUGGAUGUGCCUUCUAAUUCUAAUCAAAUGAGGUUAUAUGUGGAUGAUAAUGCUGGAUUUGACGAUAUAGAACCUGCCUUGACAAGGGAAAUUAUAUAACCUCUCACAAGAGAUACAAUGACACAGACUCAGGUUGUGUCAGACAAGGUUGCAGAAGAAAAAAAAUAGACUAUAGGAAACGAAAUACGUGAUAUCUUAGGAAUUACAGCGCCAAAAAUUGAACCUGCAUCGGUUACACAGUCUGAGAUUGUGCAGCCUGCUUUAGUGACAGAACCUGCAUUGGUUACACAGUUUGAGAAUGUGCAGUCUGCUUUAGUAACAGAACCUGCAUCGGUGACACAGGCUGAAACUAUGCAACAGCCUGCAUCAACAGAAACUUUGGGGCGAGGAAUGAGAAAGAAAGAAUCUUCUGUCAAGUUACGCGACUAUGUGUGCAAUACGACAUUUACAAUGAAUAUUUCCACUGUGAGUCAGGAGUUGAGUAAUGAUUAUGGUAUUGAGAAUUAUGUAAAUUGUGAAAGGUUCUCUGUGUCACACAAGGCAUUUCUGUGUAGUAUAACUGAAGGAGUUGUGCCGAAAAGUUUUGCUGAGGCCAUGAAGGAUCUGCGAGAUCUGCGAUGGAGAGAAGCUAUGAGACUCGAAAUUGAGGCCCAAGAACGAAAUCAAACAUGGUUGAUUGAACAAGUACCACCAGGUAAGCAUGUGAUUGAGUGUAAAUGGGUUUAUACAAUUAAGUAUAAUGCGGAUGGCUUGAUUGAAAGGUAUAAGGCGAGACUCGUGGCAUGUGGCAAUCGUUAAAAAGAAGGGAUUGAUUAUUCUGAUACAUUUGCUCCUGUAGCAAAGAUGAGCACAGUUCGAUUGGUUCUUCAAGUUGCCGCUGGGAAAAGUUGGGAGCUACAUCAGAUGGAUGUGUAAAAUGCGUUUCUUCAUGGAGAUUUGGAUGAAGAGGUUUUUAUGAGGGUACCUCAGAGUUUUGGUGCUUCUAAGAAGGGUAUGGUAUGUCGUUUGCGCAAGUCGUUGUAUGGUUUGAAACAAGCUCCGCGAUGUUGGUUCGUGAAACUUUCGAAGACAGUUUUAGGGUACGGUUUUACACAGAGUAAGGCUGAUUACUCUCUUUUCUCAUUAGUUUGUGAUAAAGUUCACUUGCACGUUCUAGUGUAUGUGGAUGAUCUUGUGGUGACAGGAAACUCUCUUGAGGUGAUACAAAAGUUUAAAACGUAUUUAAGCAAUUGCUUUCAUAUGAAGGAUUUGGGAAAAUUGAAAUAUUUUCUUGGAUUGGAAGUUGCAAGAAAUGCAGAGGGUAUAUACUUAUCACAGAGAAAGUAUGCUCUGGAUAUUAUUGCUGAUGUCGGUUUGCUUGGUGGUAGGCCUGUAGAGUUUCCGAUGGAGCAAAAUCAUCAGUUGGGAAGGUCGACGACAAAUAUUUUGAUUGAUCCAAAGAAAUAUUGGAUACUGGUUGGAAGGUUGAUUUACUUGGCUGCGACUAGACCAGAUCUUGCCUAUUCAGUUCACAUUUUAUCUCAAUUUAUGAAUGAGCCAAGAGAAGAUCAUUGGAUGGCUGCAUUGAGAGUUGUUUGUUACUUGAAAGGGUGCCCGGGAAUGGGGAUUUUGUUGAAAUCUGAUUGUAAUUUUCAUCUUACAGCUUGGUGUGAUUCAGAUUGGGCUGGAUGUCCAAUCACGAGGAGAUCUUUGAGUGGAUAGUUGAUAAAAUUGGGAAAUUCUCCUGUGUCAUAGAAGUCAAAAAAGCAAGAUGUUGUAUCAUGCUCUUCAACUGAAGCAGAGUAUCGAGCUAUGGUUUUGGCAUUGAAGGAGUUGAAGUGGUUAAAGAGUGUGUUGUUAACGAUGGGUAUUGCACAUUCUGGUCCAAUGGAUUUAUAUUAUGACAGUCAGUCUGCGCUUCAUAUUGCAGCUAAUCCUGUGUUUCAUGAGAGAACAAAACAUGUGGAGAUUGAUUGUCAUUUCAUUCGAGACGAUAUACAAGCUGGAAUUGUUCAGACCCAACAUGUUUCUACUACUCAACAGCUGGCGGAUAUCUUCACUAAAGCACUUGGAGGACGUCCGUUCAAAGGAAUUUUGUGCAAGUUAGACAUUCGAGAUCUUCAUGCUCCAACUUGAGGGAGGGUAUUAAGAGAUAUUAGGAGCUAUUAGGCUUAUUGCGCCUUUAUUUAUUAGAAUUAUUAGAGUAAUUUGUCUUACAUUGCUAGUUUCUAAGUCAAGAUUGACUAAUGUACUUGUAUAUAUAUGUGCAUUUAGGCUGAUGAAUAAAUCACUUCGGAAAAUUACUUUGACAUCUUGAACCAAAAAAAGUCUUGGAUGCAGUCCAUAGAGCCAUUUCGCGAACCACGUCAUGCAUCACAACACCUCUUCUACUAUUAGACUCUGUCAGUAAAUUUGAGUGGAUAAGGGUAUCAAGUACCACAUAACCCUUAUUCAUUGCCCUUUUAUAAGAUUUGUGUUCCCCCGAUGAAUCCCUCGCACAUCCAGUACUCUAUCAAUUCUUCUUUACUUAUUUGAAAAUCUUUUGACAAAGCACAAUAGAGGAAAUACGACUUGAUGUUGUUGAAACGUAAUCGUACUGAUUGAGCUCAAGCAACGACAAACUCUCACUCUAUUGAACUCUCUCUCUCUCUCUCUCUGAAGAUUCGCAUGAGUAUAAACGAGAGAAAGACGAAGAACACAGAGCACACGAUUUGAUUACCCAAAGUUCACCUCCUAGAUGAAGGCUACGUCUCUGGGGCCAGAUCUCGAGACGGCAAUUCCACUAACACGAAAAAAUCACAAGUCUCCAAGAACCGAGAGCUCGCGAGAAAGAAGACGAUAAGGUUUGUUACAACUGUGCUAACGGCUAGAUCCUAAUCCUUUUUAUAUACAAGAGGCUUACAACAAAACCGGAUAUUAACCAGAACCAAAUUAUAUCCUCUUAAUUGGACCAAUACUUGAUAACCAACUAAGAUGACUAACCAGUCUAAACCCAAACAUUAAUCUAGCCGUUAUACCAGAAUUGAAACUUAGACCAUAAUUCAACAGAUGUGUUCACCCACCAAGCUAUCAUAGCUGUACUUCAGAAUUAGAAGAAUUUUGUUUUCCAUGUCGGAAAACUCUGCAGCGGAUCUGGUCAAGACAUCGACUGCAAGCUCCCAUUCUUGUACCGUAGUUUGAUAUGACAUUGUCUCACCGAUGGCAAUUAGCGCUAGUGGCAGACCACAACAACUUUCAGCAACCUUUCUUGCGAGCUCGACAAUUUCAGGAUCACUUUUCAAAGUAUUGCCACCGACCAUUUUUUCAAACAAUUCCCAUGCUAUAUGUUUUUCCAGACAGUUGACUUGCAUUGGUUCAUGAUCCCCCAUCCGCUUACACACUUCGAGAGAACGAGUGGUGAAAGCUACUGUGCAUCCAUUGUGGGAAACGGAACACCAAUAGCUUCUAAAUCAACUUUCUCCCAUAUAUGAUCUAGCAUCAGAACAAAUCGCUUCCCUUUUAAAACUCUAGUUAUAUCAGCGGCCUUGUCACCUUCGUUUUUGUUCGUACACUCGCCGUCGCAAAGGUGUAGCUUUUGUGCAAUAUCUUCUUGAAGCUUUGAAAUAUUUGUGCCUUGAGAUACCACGACCCAGAUGAUAACUUGACACCCACCAGCCAUUUCACCGAACUUAUUGUGAAUUUUUUUUGAAAAGUGUAGUUUUUUCAACACCACCCAUACUGUGCAGGCCCAUGAUUCCGACUCCAUCUUUCAUAAGACGAUUCCAUGCCACUUCAAGCAUUAUUUCUAGGCCAAUCGUAGGCCCUGAAGGCCUGACUUCCACUACAGAUCUUGUAAGCGGCUCAGAUACCUCUUUAAAAUCACCUUCCAAUUUGAGAAUCUUAACUUCAUCCAACAACAAGAAUACAUUUUUCCCAAAUAGCUUGAGAAUACACUUUUUGAGCAUAAACCGCAGAGACACAACUUUGGAAGCUGAAUAGUACUAGUACUGAGCAGUUCAGUUACUCGUGUAUGGAUGCUCUCGACACAGUUACAAUAUAGAAGAAUCUAGAAGAUUCUAGAUAUUAUUGUUAAUAUUGUGUAUAUUAUUAUUUAGAUAUUAUAGAGAUUUGUAUCUAUCUUCUUUAGAAAAGAUCUAUGGUAUAAAUAUGUAUCUACUCUAUUCAUUAUAAUUAUGAGAGUCAAUAUACAUUACAAUUCUUCCAAUUCUAAACUCUCAUCACUCUAGUAGGUCAAGCCUUUUUCGAUGUUGUGUCUCCUCUAAUGCAACUCUGUUUUUCACCUGUUGUUGAAAUGCUUUGAGAUCUUCCAUUUCCCUCUGAAAAGUUCUUCUUGAGGUUUAGGAUAUAACCUUUACCAAGUAAGCAUCUAAAGAUACCAUUUACUGCUCCAUCACAAGAAAAAUUUGACACCCAAUUCUUAAUAGAUUAUAUGGUUACUGGUUUGUAGAUUUGUACAUUCUUAAUCGAUUCCACUAUUAUUCGUAAAUAGAUUAUAACAUUCUUUAAAAAUCCAUUGUUAUUGGUUUGAUGAUUUUUAUAAUCUAAUCAAAAUUCAUUGUUCUUCAAAAAGUUUAUAUUUUAAUGAUUUUAUAAUUAUAUUAAAAGCUAGUGUUAUUGGGAUAAAAAUUCUUUACAAUUCAACUCAUAAAUCAAGAUUUUUAAAAUACUAUCUAUAUCUAUUGAAUUCUUAAAAUCUGUCAUAGUAAAAUUAUUUUGUAAAUUGUUUUAAAUCCACAACACUCUCUUCAAAUUUUACAAAUCUAACAAAACUCUUGAAGAUUUGACUAAUCUUAUUACUUUUUAAAUCAACCAAAAUCUGUCAUAUGAUUUAAGGUGAUCCAGCUCUAUCUAUGCGCCACGUCAGCCUUUGUAAGGAGGACACAUCUCCCAUCUUUUAAUGCUUUUAUUUCAUCUUCUUCCCCCUCUAUUUUAUCUCAUAUUCCUUGUCUCACAGUGGCUCAAUCUCUCUUUUAUUUGUUUGCCAAUUUUGGGGAUUUGAAGACGGAAUAAAGAUUAAACUUUUUCUCAUAUUGUGUUCUAUGCAAUAUUCAAAUUAAGAUGAGAUGUGGAAAAAUCGUUAUAAAGAGGUUCUAGAAUGUGAAUAGCAGGCAAGUUACCUUCUCUAAGAGGCAUGAUGGGUUGUUUAAGAAGGCUCAUGAGUUAUUUGUUCUUCGCGACACUUUUAUCUCCGUCUUUUUACUCAUAUUAUGUUUAUGAUUUCUAGAAUAGUAGAAUAAUUUUCUUACUUACCCUACUUUCAAUCCUUAAAAAAAGUUAUUUGUUUGAUAAAGAUUUUAAUAAAAAAAAAACAAAUACCAAACAAUCAAGCAAAUUACCAUAUUUUUAUAAUUAACUACAUAUAUAUAUAUAUAUAUAUAUAUAUCAACACAAAUUAUUUUUAAAAAUAUUAUGUAAAACAAAACUCGCGCGUAUGCGCAGGUACAAGCCUAGCCUUUAUAAAUCCAAAUUCCAAUAACCUCUCUUAGCAUAAAUAAUAGAAAUGAUAAAACUAAAUAAAAUAAAUAAUUAACUUUAGAGUCGAUUACAACAUUCUCGAUUGUUAGACCAACAACAACUUCAUUUUGUUUUUUUUUUUGCAAAGUCUUAUAAUAUUCACCUUUUUUUUUAAAUAUUCUCCAAAAAAAUUUUAAUCAGAGAUUGAGUUGGAAAAAAAUAAAUUUUGGAAACAAAGAUUAUAAUUAGUUCAAAAAUGCUACCUUUUAAAAAAUGAUGAGUAAAAUAGAAGACAUUUCUUCUUAUAUAGAGGCUAAUCGUAGGGAUUCCAAUUAUGUUAUAUAGAUUUUCAAAAAUUUUGAUUUUUUAAAAAAUAAUCAGUAAUAAACAGAAAAAAUAUAAAAUAUGUUUGAUAACUAUAUUAGGUAACAACCAAAUUUCAUCUGCAUUAUAUUUGAAAAACUUAUAACUGAUAUUUUUGCAAGAUAGAUUUUUGUUUUUGUCUUGAAUAUUUUUUUUUAAAUGGUUAAACUACAAUGAUUUUUCCAAAAGUAUAAAAAAUCAGAAAAUAAUCGAUAAAAAUAUUGAAUGCAUAGUUUUAGUUAAAUAUUUUUCAAUUAUAAGCAAAUAGUUUUCGUCUCAUGCGCCGCGUGAACCGUGAAGUAUCUAUAAAAUAUUACUAAACAUGAUUUAAUUGAUUUAAAAUAUAAAUAAUUUAAUUGAUUUUAUAUGUAUGUUAAUAAUAUUAUGAUGAGUAAUGAUAUGAUUUUGUAUUAGUAUUACAAUUACAAAUAUAUAAUAGAACUAUAAGAUUUUAUUAUUGAUUUUCAUAUUGCUUUUGUUUUUCUUUUUUUUGUCGACUGCUUUUGUUUUAAAUAUGAAUGUAAUUAUAUAGUUAAUAGUUUAACUGAAAAAUCGAUAUAUUUUAUUGAAUAAAAAUUUUAGUAAUUUAUUUUGUUUUGUUUUUUCAAAUUCAAAUUAUCGCAUAUGCAUAAAAAUAUUAAAUUUUUAUAUGUUUGAUGUGAUAAUUAAUUCAGAAAAAAGUAAACAAAGAAAUAAAAAAAUAUAUAAUGAUUUAAAAAUAAUUCUUAUUAUAUAAUUGAAUAAGGAUUGAAUAUAAGAAAAUAAUUAAUAUGAUAUAAUUAAAUUUCAGAUAUUUUUGAUUCUAUUUGAUUGGCUAAUACAUAUGCUUUGAAAUUAUUUACUAGUUUUUGUGUGUCUAAUCAAAGAAAGAAAGAUUUUUUAAAAAAUUACUUUUAAUGAUUAGUUUAAUAAGAUAUAUUUGAUUUUUUAAUCAAAUUAAUAUGAAUGGAAUUAAUUAUAAUUAUUCUAGUAAUAUAAGUCUUUUUUUUCCAAAAAAAAUUGAGAGCAUAGCAAAAUUGUUAAUAUUACAUAUGACAAAUGUUAUUUUUAAAGUGUUUUUCUCAAAUAAUAAUAUAAAAGAUUUCAAAUUUCCACCGACAAUCAUUGACUUUGGAUUAUGAAAAUUUGUGAAAAACAAAUUACAACUCUUCAUUAACUUUACAUGUAUCCCAUUAAUUUAAACUGGUUAUACAAAUACUGUUGGCAUUCAAAUCCCUGCUCAAUGAAAAUAAACCCGUUGAUCAAAGAGUUAAAAAACAAAACAAAAAAGUGAAAAGCGAAGGAAAAGCUAGAUAACGAGCUAAAACAAGGGAACAAGACGUCAAGACCCCUACAUAUACAAAAGCAAACCCCUACGAGAACAACAAAACAAAACAGUACACUUGCAGAGAGAUAAGAAUGCAAAGGAUACAAAAGCAUAAAACAAUUUGAAUUGGUUUUAGUUUGACAAGGAAGCAACCCGUCUUAAGUUAUACAAUAGGAGAAUGAAAUACCUAAUCCAAGUGGCGUCACAACACACUUGCAGAGAGAUAAGAAUGCAAAGGAAAAACAAUAAUAGGAUAAUACAAUCCAUAUGAACAACACAUCACACAUCAAACAAUAAUACUCUGAAGAUCCCCUUUUACAUACGCAAAAACAUAAAACUAUUUGAUUUGCUUUAGUUUGAGAAGGACGCAAUCCGUCUUAAGUUGAUACAAUAGGAAAAUGAAAAACAUAAUCCAAGUGAACAACACAAAACACUGCAGAAGGAUACGAAUCAGUAAUGAUAUCCAAAAUGAACACAUCACACUACAAGAUCAAAGACAGAAGACGAAGAUGCGUAGAUUCUGUUCUUAGUGCCGAAUCCUUAUGCAUAGUGAAGGAUGUUUAGUAGACCUAAAGCAACAAACGAUGAAAAAAAAGAAACAAAAGUUAGUGAGUGACACUUGCGGGGCUCAUUGAAAUUGAGAGGCACAAGCAUAUUGAGUAUAUAUAAAUCUUAAGAAUCUGAACUACUUUUAGUCGUUUUCUUUUAAUAUUUCUAACCUCCCAUUUAUUUCUUGCUGAACAAGAAACCCAGAUGUGGAAGGAAAAGAAGAAGAAAUUGUUUGUGAUUUGAUCCUUUGAAGAGAUCAAUACACAUAUGUUUUUACAUUUUGAAAUAAUGAAACUAAUCCACCGAACACAUGCAUGACUUUUCUAAUAUUUUUUUUUUAUCAUGUUGUCCAAUUUGUGUUUGUCGGGUAUAUCAUGAUGCAAAUGGAGAGUAUCAGUCUAAUAAGGGUGAAUACUUCAAGCUAACCUAUAGCAAACAUGAAAAAAACUCAGAGAUGAAAAAAAUAAAAACCAAAGCGGAAGGGUAUUAAGAGAACUGAUUACCAGAUGGAUUAAAGGCAAUAAACGGUUUUUGGUAUCUUCGUCCUCCCAUUCAAGCUCAGUUAUCUCUUGUCCAUGACCCAUAUCUAUUGUAAACCGGGCAAGUCGUGGGACACUUGUAGCAUCAAAGGGAAGCUUUCUCAGAUUUGGACACUCUAGUACGCUUGUGUGCCACAAUGAUGGAAAGGGGAGAGGACUCCAAUAGAUACUCUCCAGCUUAGGCAAACUUGUCAGCGAUAAGAAUUCAAGUUUCUGAAAUGGUGUAAUACCUGUAAGAUUGUUUGCUUUCUCUUUGUUUAUUAUUUCUUCCACUUCGUUUGAAUAUUCAAUUUGUAGGUAGACAAGAUUUGGAGCAAACAAUAGCCAAGUCAUAUCCUUAAAGCCAAUACAGCCAUAGAUAUGCACAAACAAGAGGUUUGUAAAGCAUGGACUUGUCGGAUUGUCUAGAUCUGACAAGUCCGUCCCGCCUUCUCUGCAUUUUGUAUUAAUCUCCGAGAUAUGACUAUUUUCCAGCCAGAGCAUACGAAGAUUCUUCAUACUCACCAGCAAUGACAUAUUCAAUGGCUUUUUAUAAAAAGAUUGAAUACACAGACCAUUGAUGCAGUUCGCCAACUUUUGAUCCCCUAAUAUUUGCUCCAAACCCAAUUCCGUAGAUAUCGUUAUGGUUAGAACUUGUAGAUGCUCCAAGAUCUGUAGCUCCUUCACUGAGCUAACAUCUCCAUGAACAUUGGACUUUAGUAGUUUCAAAAUUCUUAAACUCGAAACCUUUGAUAUCUCACUGAUACUCCGAAGUCUGUGUGUAGAAGUCAAAUUUAGCUGGAUUAGCUUUUUCAACUCUUGGAAACCAACAGGCAGUUGCUCUAUACUUGUAUUCGACAAGUCAAGAUACUGUAAGGAGGUCAGCUCUGAUAUCUGCUCUGGAAGUUAAUUGAAGUUAUUAUUACCGGAUAAAUCCAAAACAAGUAGUUUUUGCAUAGAAAGGAUGAAUUCACUUGAGAGACUCUUCAAUUUAUUAUCCUGGAAAAACAUAGUUGUAAGUUCAGAACACUUGGAACAGCAACUAAUCUCUUCUAUCGCAUUACACAUUAAUGAUAAAAUUCUCACAGGUCUCCAAUCUUCAACUUUUGGUGUCUCACGUAAUCCGACUCGCGCUUGCACAACACAAAUUUCUUUCGGUUUUCCAAAGUCAGAUGCAAUCCAUAGAGCCAUUUCGCGGACUAUGUCAAUGAUGAUAGACUUAUUCGUAGAUUUUCAUUAAUGGUAGAUUUAUUUUCCUAGUAGUGGUAGAUUUAUUGUCAAAUGAUGAAAGAUUUAUUUUUGUAUAGGUUUAGUAUACAGUAGAUUUAUUUUUGAUAUAAUGAUAGAUUUAUUUUGGAUUUUAUGUAUUUAUCUUCUUCUCUAGUAGGUUAUUGACGACGAAUGGUGGAUCAAAAGAUAAAUAAUAUGAUGGAAGUGGAGUGAGUUACUAGCACGGAAAUGGAGAUUUGUUUAUCAAAAAAAAUAUUUGUAGAUUUGUUUGCUUGAAUAGUGGUAUUUGUUUAUUUAAUGGUAAAUUUAGUUUAGGAUUUGAUAGAUUUAUUCGAAAUGGUAGUAAAUUUCUUUUUAAAUAAUAAUUUAAUAAUUGCUUAGUAGUAUAAUCAAAAUGAAUGAGAUAUAAACUAAAAACAUAUGAUACAACCCAAUAAUAUAAAACAAAUUAAAAUACAUAUUCAUUUUAUAUACCAAAAAAGAAAAUAAACAAACACAAAUAAAUAAAAAACCAUUUGUCAUUUCUAACACAAUCAAGCAUUGUCUAGCAAAUAACCAAAUAUCAUAAAUGGUUCAAUGUAGAUUAAAGUAAUAAUACAACUUUUCAUUUGUUAUUGACAUUUUAGUACUUCAAAAAAUUCAUAUAUCAAACUAAAUCAGUCCUUAUAAUUAAAUGCAUUUUUCAAUUAAUUUUAAACCCACUUUUCCUCUAAUAUCCCAUAGGAUAUCACCGAGGAGGUAGGUGGUCUUACUUUGCUAAGCUUCAAAUUGUAUUGUCUUCACUUUUCAGUAUAAGACUAAUAAACAUUUAGUUUACAAUUUUGAAUUUUCUAAAUGGAGUAGGCCGAGAUCAGGUCCAGGCUAUUGAUGCGAACAAAUCUUACAAAUUGCAAACGGCUAUUUGCUUUGUGUUAGCAUUGGUCCAUUGAAUUUUCAAUUUUUUUAAUAACUUAUAUUGAGUCAUAUGGAAAUGGACAACACUCAGCGGUAUCAGUUCUUAUCAGCACCGCUGCUUUGUAUGUAGUCGCCGUCUGCUUUGUAUCGUAAAAGAAAGAAGAUUGAGUUUUGCCAGAAUCUACUCUACAAGAUUGUUGUAGUUUCUGGACACGCAGCUAAUUCAAAUGACGAACCAAUGUUCAAUGUUCAAGACCGGUGGGCAGUGAAUAAUUGAGCGUAUCAAAUUAGGCUUGCGAAUUUGUUUUUUGCUGAAGAUUUGUUCUUGGGCUCUUGUUUUAAUGUUCUUAAUGUGGUGAAGCCAUUAGGAAAGGAAUGUGAAAACUCUUAAAAUUAAGAAGACUCUUUCCAUGUCUUCUUAAGUGAAGUUGUCUCUUAAGCUUAUUGCCCCAAAUCAGAAAGCCACUAGAUAUAGUUUGGGAUUAGAUGGAAGUCAUAGCAUCUUCAGAUUAGGUUUAGGGGGUUUAAAUUAGAGAGUCUGAUAAACAGGAUCUUCAUGAUUCAGCAAAAUCAUAUAACUUUUCAUCUUGAUUCCUCCUGUUAACAACACAUAUACACUUCAAGAUGAAAUAGAAAAAGCUACAGGUAGAGGAAUUUGAUUUUGGAUAGUGAGGAAUCAAAAUACACAGUAAAUUCAGAGGCAUCACAUGCUUUUAUGAUAUCUCCUUUCACGUAAAAGCAUAAAAACUGUUGAUUAUAUAAAUACAUGUAGCUUGAGAAAAAAGCAAUCCGCCUUAACUUAUUACAUAGAAAAUUGAAAAUAGAAAAUCCAAUUGAACAACACAACACACUGCAGAGAGAGAGAGAUAAGAAUGCAUAGAAAAAACAAUAAUACAAUCCAAAUGAACAACACAUCACACUUUGAGGAAGAAAGAGAAAGCAGAAGAAGAAGCGUGGAUUCUGGUUUCUGACUGUGAGGAAUCCCAAUCCAGCUUCUGGUGUGGUUAGUCUAUACUGAAUAUGUUAAGAAGAAAUAAAAUAAACAAAGUUAGUGAAUAUUCAGAAAUUCAUCUAAGACUGCUAGGAAUAUCCAGCAAAUUCUGCCUCACCAUUAAUAUACUAAUUUUAACCAGUUUCUAUUAAAUAUUUUUAUAUAUGCCUUGCUUAACGAAUGUGAAAGGAAAAGAAGAAGAAAGAAAAUACUGUUUGUGAUUUAGUCAUUUGAAGAGCUCAAUGCACGUAUGUAUUUAAACUUUUGAAAUUGACCCCUCGUAAAUAUCCAACAAACACAGGUCUGAUGAUUUUGCAGAUAAUUUUCUAAUUUUGUGACCCAAUUUGUGUUUUGUUGGGUAUCAUGAUGCAAAUGGAUCAUAUCAGACUAAAAUAAAACGAUCACACUUCAUUCUAACCUUGAGCAAACUUGACAGAAACUCAGUAAGAUAAAUUAAUUUAUUCAAGCGGAAGAGAAUAAGAGAAAUGAUUACCCAAAUGACCGAUGGCAGGAAACGUUUUUUUGUAUCUUCAUCCUCCCAUUCAAGCUCAGUUUUCUGUUCUGGAGGAACCAUAGAUAUUUCAAACCCGUCAAGUCGUGGGACACUUGUAGCAUCUAAAGGAAGCUUUCUCAGCUUUGGACAAUUUCCUACAUAUAUGUACCGCAAUGAUGGAAAGGGGAGAGGACUCCAGUAGAUACUCUCCAGCUCAGGCAGAUUUCUCAGGGAUAAGUAUUCUAGUUUCUGAAAUGGUGUAGUACUUGUAAGAUUGGUUGCUUUCUCUUUGUUUAUGAUUUCUUCUACUUCUCCUAAAUGUGAAAUGUCUAGCCAAGUCAGAUUUGGAGCAAAGAGUAGCCAAGUCAGAUCCUUAAUGCUAUCGCAGUUUCUCAUAUUCACGGCGGAGAGGUUGGUAAAGCAUGGACUCGUCUUGCUUCCUCUGCAUUUAAUAUAUGUAUCAAUCGCCGACACAUGACUACCAUCCACCUGGAGCAGACGAAGAUUCUCCAUACUCAACAGCGAUGACAUAUUGAAUGGCUUUUCUUUAAAACCUUGAAUACCCAGACGACUGAUGCAGUUAGCCAACCUUGGAUCGCCUAAUAUAUGCUUCAAACCCAACUCGGUAGAGAUCGUUAUCUCUAGAACUUGUAGAUGCUCCAAGAGCUGCAGCUCCUUCAACAAGCUAACAUCUCCAUGAACUUUAGAAUUUCUUAGUUUCAAAAUUCUUAAACUCGACAGCUUUGAUAUCCCACUGAUACUACGAAGACUGUUUGUAUAAGUCAAAUCCAGAUGAAUUAGCUUUUUCAACUCUUGGAAACCAACUGGCAGUUGCUCUAUACUUGUGUUUGACAAGUUAAGAUACUGCAAGGAGGCCAGCUUCGAUAUCUGCUCAGGAAGUUUUUGGAAAUAGCGAUUAUCUGAUAGAUCCAAAACAACUAGCUUUUGCAUAGAGCCGAUGAAUUUACCUGAGAGAUUCAUCAACUCAUUCUUCUGGAGGAGCAGAGUUGUAAGUUCAGAACACUUGGAACCACAGGUUAUCUUUUUAAGCUCAUUCUUCAUCAAAGACAUCCUUCUCACAGCUCUCCAAUCCUUGACUUUUGGCAUUUCGUGUAAUCCGACUCCUGCUUGAACCAAAAAAGUCUCUUUCUGUUUCCCAAAGUCGGAUGCAAUCCAUAGAGCCAUUUCGCGAACCACGUCAUGCAUCACAAGAUUCACAACACAUCUUAGUUUCAAAAUUCUAUUAGACUGUUCUGUCAGUAAAUUUGCGCGGAUAAGGGUACCAAGUACCUCAUAACCCUUAUUCACUGCCCUUUUAUAAGAUUGGUGUUCCCCAAUGAAUCCCUCACAUAUCCAAUAUUCUAUCAAAUUUUCUUUAUGUAUAGGAAAAUCUUCAGGAAACAGAGCACAAUAGAGGAAACACGACUUGAUAUUUUCACCCACCAAGCUAUCGUAGCUGAACUUCAGAAUCGGAAGAAUUUUGUUUUCCAUGUCGGAAAACUCUGCAGCUGAUCUGGACAAAACAUCGACUGCAAGCUCCCAUUCUUGUACCGUAGUUUGAGAUGACAUUGUCUCACCAAUGACAACAAGCGCUAGUGGCAGACCACAACAUUCUUUAGCGACCUUUUUGGCAAGCUCGACAAUGGCAGGAUCUCUACUUAAUGUAUUGUCUCCUACCUUGCUUUUGAACAAUUCCCAUGCUUCAGUCCAUUCCAAACAGUUGACUUUCAUCGGCUCAUGAUCUCCCAUCCGCCCACAUACUUCCCGAGAACGAGUGGUGAAUGCUACUUUGCAUCCAUUUUCUCUGGUCGGAAACGGAACUCCAAUGGCUUCUAAAUCCACUUUCUCCCAUAUAUCAUCUAACAUCAGAACAAAUCUCUUCCUCUUUAAAACUCUGUGUAUAUCAGCGGCCUUGUCAUCUUCACUUUUGUUCGUUCCGCCAAGGUUUAGCUUUUGUGCAAUAUCUUCUUGAAGCUUUGAAAUAGUCGCACCUUGAGACACCACGACCCAGAUCACAACAUCAAAUCUACCAGCCACUUCAGUGAACUUAUUGUGGAUUUUCUUGAAAAGGGUAGUCUUGCCUACACCUCCCAUACCGUGCAAACCCAUGAUUCCAACUCCAUCUUCCAUAAGGCGAUUCCAUGCCUUUCCCAGCAUUGUUUCCUGACCAAUCGUAGGCCCCGUAGGCCUCUCUUCUACUGCAGAUCUCAAACCCGGCUCAGUAACCUCUUUAGAAUUACCCUCUGAUUUGAGAAUCUGGACCUCUUCCAGCAACAAGAAUACCUUUUUCCCAUAUUUGUAGCUCGAACAUACACUUUUUGAACAUAAACCACAGAGACACAACUUCUUAAGCUCAACAGGACUAGUACUAAGCAGAUCAUUGAACCGUGUAUCGAUGCUCUCGACACGUGUUAGCCAUACCUUGACAGCUUCAAGCCUUUGUUGAUGUUGUGCCUCCUCUCUCGCCACUUUGUUCUUCACCUCAGCUUCAAUUGCCUUGAGAUCAUCCAUUUCCCUCUUCAGAGCCCUGAGAUUCUCCUUGAGGUUUCGAAUAUAACCCUUACCACAUAAGCAUCUGACGAUAUGGUUCAACGUUUGAUCACAGGAAAGUUGGAAAGACACACAAUUCCCCAUGGUGAUAGAAAGAGAGAAAACUUUGAGUAAGCAACAAACGAAAGCUAAAGAUGAAGAAGUGUUUUAUGUGAAAAGCAUUUAACUAAUUCUGAAGAAGGAAGAGAGGAUUAGUUAGAUUUUAGUCUACUAUGCGUUUUAAUUUCCGCCAUUGUUUCGAAGGACGUUUAGUCGUUUACUUUAGAUGCAAUUAUGUUUGAAAAAUUCAAAGGUCAAUUACCAACUCUUAUCAUUAUUAAGAUGCAACUAUGUUUUAAAUUAUACAAAGGUCAAUGAUUUAAUCGCCCAGUUUGGAUUAUUAUGCAACUAUGUUUUAAAAAAACAAAGCUCAAUUAAUGUUUAAUCACUGGGUUUGGAUUAUUAUCAUCACUUGUUGUUAAUUAUUUAAAUCAUUCACUUUCAAAUAUUUGUGAAAAAUCAAUUACUUUAGAAUAUUUUCCAAAUGACAUGGGAACCAAUAACCAUGAUCAAAAACGGUGUGGUGCGAUCGCCCGAAGCCAAAAACAACUUACAAGAAAUCUGGAACAGAGCAGACAAUGGAGAAGUCUAAGGAGCUCGUCAAGGAUAGAAAUCUGGAACAGAGCAGACAAUGGAGAAGUCUAAGGAGCUCGUCAAGGCUGAGAACUCAGAAUGGCCUCCAAAUUUUAUCUGCACCUGAAUUCAGAAUGGCCUAACAAAAAGUGCAGAAUGGCUUAUAAAAAUUGCCCAUACCAAGCAAAAAAAAAAAAAAACAAAGUCAGUCAAUAACAGAUAUCAGUCUCGAAGUUGCUUUUUUGUUUCACCAAAAAAAAAAAAAGAAGAAGUUGCUUCUUUUGUGGGAAAAGCAGAGGUCAUAUAAAGGCUAAUUGUUACAAGUUUCAGAGGAAAGUAAAUCAGUUUUAGAAUCAUCAAGACUAUAUGGAAAAACCAUUGAGAUUCACAGAAGCAAAGAAUUUUAUUUUGGACAUUGAGGAAUAAAAAUCUAAAAUCAAAAUCCAAAGGUACAUUGAAGGAUGUUUAGACCCAAAACGGCUACAAAAGAAAAGAAAAAAAAAAGUUAGUGACACUUGUGGAACGCAUUGAAAUUGAGAGGGACAACAUAUUCUGAAAAUAAAAUUCCUUUUCAACAUGUCUGCAGGGAUUAUCCAACUAGUUCAACCUCACCAUUAAUAUCUUAAGAAGCUGAACUAGGUUUAAACGGUCUUGUUGCGGAUAUCACCAAUAUCAAUUCGUUCAAAUUGAGUUUCCGAUCUGAAUCUUAAGAUGAAAUAGAAACGAGAAAUAAGCAUUAGAAACUACACACAAGAUUUAUCCAGUUUAGGCGCCAACCGCGACCCUACAUCUGGCAGAGACUUCCUCGGAAUUCACUAAGAGAAUGGUUUACAGAGUAGCCGUUACUCUCACUGGAAGAUACCCCGAGAAUCCCUUUCACUCACCGGAAAGAUCUCACAGUUUUCACUCACCAAUUACAAAAAAUGGUAUGUCGAAGAAGAUCUCUCUCUCUCUCUCUCUCUCUCUCUCUUUCUCUCUCUCUCUCUCUCUCUCUCUGCAACUAAUUAAUGACCGACCCGUAGUAACAAACCGAAACAACCCCUGCGCGUAAACACACGCUCUAACGGUCACUCUUCGAUAUCAGCUUCUAGAAGAAGCUCGUAACGAUGACGUCUUGGAGUCUUACCUUAUCCGGUUCACUUAAUCCUGAAAUCAAUAUCCUGACUUCAUUAACCGGAACCUGCUAAUUGAACUAGAUGGUUUAUCAACCAAACCCAUCUGACAGGUUUUUUAACUUUCUCUUUUAACAUUUUUCUCCUCCCAUAUAUUCUUUGCUGAACAAGAAACCCAAAUGCCAAAUGUGAAAGAAAAGAAGAAGAAGAAGAAUUAUUUGUGAUUUGAUCAUUGAAGAACUCAAUACACACAUGUUUUAUAAUUUUGGAAUUAAUGAUACCCCAUACAAAUCCACCAAACACAUGUUUAUUUUCAACGUAAUUUUACAGUUUGUGAUCCAGAUUGUGUUUGUUGAGUAUCAUGAUGCACAUAUGGAUCAUAUCAGUCUGAUAAAACGAUUCAGACCUCAUGCUAACCUUGAGUGAAAGAAACUCAGUAGUAAAAAUAAUUACCCAAACAGAAGAGUUUAAAGGCAUCUCCUAUGUAUAAUUCUAUAUUUUACUCUAUUUAGAUACUCUAUUUUAAAGUAACUUCAAAAUGGAAUUGUGUUAUUGUUGACAAUCUUCCCUUCCUCUUACAUUCACUCUGGUUUGAUUUCUUUCUCUCUUUCUCUCUCCUUCCUUUCUCUCAGUCUCUCUCUCUAGUUCUUGCUCUGUUUCACUCAUUGUUAUUGUUUGCUUGUUCUAUAUUGUUUGCUUGUUCUAAGUGAAAACAAGAAGAAAGUUAGAGAAAACAUUUAAUAGGCUACAUCUUUGAUAUUUGAUCUUUCGAUGCUUUUCUUACACAAACACAACACAUACACUUAUACUACUUGAUACUUGAACUCACUUGGACUCUAGACUUAACCACUUCUUCAAUGCCAUACUUCUAGUACUAGACUAGUUGUACAAGCAACCUUACUUCAAACAUCAUUACCUUUAACAACUCUUAACUAUUCUAACAACUCUUAAAGUAUUCUAACUCUAUACUUAGACACAUACACAAACUCGAUAUUUUGGCUUCUUGGGCUGAUGACAAUUCGCAGGCCCAUUACUCUUAAACAAGAAGCCCAAUCCCUUUCUCCAGAGUUGACUUCUCUUCUUGGUUGACUCUCUUCUUCUUCUCUGAUUCCUUCUUCCACCACACGAGACUUCAUCUUCUUCCUUUCUUCUUCUAAUUGAAGCAACUUUCUUGUUUGCUAGAUUUAAUCAAGGACUCAACCUUCAACAGUUAUCCUCCAAUUUUAUUCCAUGGAGUCAUGACUAAAAUAUUUAGAGUAACUCCAUUUUUAGAGUAACUGUAACAUCCCAAACCCAGCCCAAUUAGAGGAGGCCCAGCAAAUCCAGGCCCACUCCAGAAACCCUAAUAUAAAUAGAGAAUUAGGAGUUAAUGAGCCUCAUUUUGCCUAAUUACCCUAGCCCCCAAAGAAAAGAAAGUGAGAGAGAGAAGGAGAAGCUGCACGCCGUCGCCGAGGACGAGAGCCGCCGCCGCCGCCGGAGAAGGGUGCCGCCGCCGCCGCCGCUUGCCGAGAGAAGAAGGAGCACUCGCCUGCCUCCACCUUCUCAGAAGUUGCUUGAUUCUUUUGCCUCUUCUAGUUCUCCUUAAUCUCAGAUCUGCUUUUAGGCCAAGGUGAGGAUUAGAUCUAGGUCUUUCUUCUUAUCCCUUUAUCUUCUUCUGUUGUGUUGAGUCUAGAUCUGGUGGGACAGGUAUGUCUUCUUGUGCAUCUAGGCAGAUCCAUAUAUAUAUAUANNNNNNNNNNNNNNNNNNNNNNNNNNNNNNNNNNNNNNNNNNNNNNNNNNNNNNNNNNNNNNNNNNNNNNNNNNNNNNNNNNNNNNNNNNNNNNNNNNNNGUAGAAGUCCUAAAGGUCAUAAGUCUGUUUCUGUAUAGUGAUGUUGCCGAAUGCAGGCUUUGUUUGCUGGGUUAUGUUGCCGUCUGUGUGACCGUGGCAAUAAUCCAUUCAUCCGGUGGAGUGAUGACCCACGGGGCUGUCCGUGUGACAGGGUCUCUGUCUGUGUGACAGGGCGUCUGUCUGUGUGACAGGGUGAGAUGUCGACCUGUGUCCGAGUGACAAGGUGGUUUGGCCUAUUGAGAGGCGGGAUCGGAGACAUCACUGCUUGUUAGUUGCUUGUGCACUUGUAGAGUGCUUGUUUGGUUUCAUUAGAUUUAUUCUUAAUAUGUUGGUGGAAAUAAAUGAAUAAGGCGGGAGCCUGGUUUGGUUCUCACUGAGUAAUUCUUCCAAAUUACUCACCCCUCUCUCUCUAAAUUCCGAUGUGCAGGUGAAUGUGAUUGUGAUUGUGAAUGUGAUGAUGUCUGGGAAGAAGUAGACGAGUAAUUCUAGUGUGGUGUGCCUUCAGAAAUGGAGGAAGUUUUAUUGUUUUCAAGAACUAUUUCACAUUUCUUCUUAAGACAAUGUUUCUAUUUUAUUUCAGAUUUCAUAAGUUAUUUCAUUUCUAUGGUAAGACUUAGAUUUGGGUUUGGAUUUGAAUAAAGAACAACAAGUUAUUUGGAAUUGAUUUAGUUUAGGUUAGUUAAUAUCCCGGUUUAUUCUGGUUUCCUUCGGAAGCAGGAAUCGGGGUGUUACAAUUUGGUAUCAGAGCAUGGUUCGAACUAGGUGUUAAGAGAGCUAUCUAGAAUAGUGGGAAUGGGAUUCGGAUUUCAAAAAAAAAAUGGUUUAAAAAGUUUUUAAAAGUUUUCAAGUUUUCAAAGUUCAAAGAUUUUUCCAAAUGUUUUCAAAGAAAGAAAACUACCACCUAGACUGGCCUCUCUAGUUUUUGUUGUUCUUUUCUUUUGCAGGAAGUUAGUCUUUACGGGACCGGACUGACUUAUCUGCCUUUUAUAGUUUUGUAAGCCCGAGGUUGACCAAGUGUUGGACCUUCUCCGGAAAGUUCACCCCCAGAUUGAAAGCAGUGGAAACUGCUGGAAGUGAGCAGGUGAAGACCAUUGGAAUCCAUGAAGAGGUGCCUAUCUUGUUGGAAGGAGCAGAUUUUCCUUGGACUCUAGUGAAAAUGAAGUUGGGCCACUAUGAUGUUAUCCUUGGAAUGGACUGGCUGAAGCAUUAUGAAGUUGUCCCGAAUUGCCGGAAGUCGAGGGCCUAUGUUCCGUAUCAAGGAGGUCGGAUUGCCUUUCAGGGAGUAAAGACCGACACCGGAGUGCCAGUCAUUUCGAUGAUUCAUGCCGAGAAUCUUAUAGAGGAAGGAUGUGAAGCUUUCUUGGCGACAGUCUCUAUGGUAGGAGAGGGAGCACCUAAGAGCCUUGAGGAGAUACCAGUGGUGAAUGAAUACGCGGACGUAUCCAACCAUUGACUGGACCUCCGCCAAGAAGAGGAGUUGACUUCACUAUCGAAUUAGAACCAGGAACAGCCCCUGUUUUGAAGGUUCCAUAUCGAUUGGCACCAGCAGAGAUGGCUGAGCUAAAGAAGCAGUUGGAGGACUUGACGGAUAAAUGAUUUAUUCGGCCAAGCAGCUCGCCAUGGGGAGCGUCCGUGCUAUUUGUAAAGAAGAAAGAUGGAAGCUUUCGACUUUGCAUUGAUUAUAGAGGGCUGAAUAAGGUGACCAUCAAGAAUAAGUAUCCCUUGCCAAGGAUUGAUGAGUUGUUGGACCAGUUAGAAGGAGCUUCAUGGUUCUCUAAAAUUGAUUUGGCGUCAGGCUAUCACCAGAUUCGGAUAGCAGAGGAGGACAUUAGUAAGACAGCAUUCCGAACUCGAUAUGGUCAUUAUGAGUUUGUGGUAAUGCCGUUUGGAUUGACUAAUGCGCCUGCAGCUUUCAUGAAGUUGAUGAAUGAUAUUUUUUUAGAGCACUUGGAUAAGUGUGUGAUUGUCUUUAUUGAUGACAUCCUGGUCUAUUCAAGGUCGGAGAGAGAGCAUGAAUGGCAUUUAGGAAUGAUUCUGCGGAAGUUAAGGGAUCAGCAGCUUUUUGCGAAGCUAAGCAAGUGUAGCUUCUGGCAGAGGAAGAUGGGAUUCCUUGGCCAUAUUGUCUCAGAAGAGGGAGUAGCAGUGGAUCCUGAGAAGAUCACUGCAGUGACAGAGUGGCCUGUACCUAAAAGUGUUACUGAGGUCUGUAGCUUUUUGGGUCUGGCUGGGUAUUAUCGUAAGUUUGUGCCUAAUUUCUCCCGUAUUGCCAAACCUCUCACCAGCUUGACGGAGAAGAAUGUUAAGUUUGAGUGGAUGGAUAAGAGAUCUCAGAGUUUUGAGGAGUUGAAGCAGAAACUCACAGAGACUCCGAUAUUGAUACUUCCAAGGUCAGGAAUACCAUAUGAUGAAUACACCGAUGCCUCUGGAUCCGGGUUAGGAUGUGUGCUGAUGCAGGAAAAGAAGGUCGUAGCNNNNNNNNNNNNNNNNNNNNNNNNNNNNNNNNNNNNNNNNNNNNNNNNNNNNNNNNNNNNNNNNNNNNNNNNNNNNNNNNNNNNNNNNNNNNNNNNNNNNGCUUCGGAAGCAUGAAGUGAAUUAUCCGAUUCAUGAUUUGGAGUUAGCAGCAGUAGUAUUUGCUCUGAAGAUUUGGCGUGCUUACCUGUAUGGGGAGAAGGUGCACAUAUAUACUGAUCAUCAGAGUUUGAAGCAUGUGUUCACUCAGGAUGAUUUGAAUCUGAGGCAGAGGAGGUGGAUAGAAUUAUUGGCUGAUUAUGAUUUGGAAAUUUCCUAUCAUCCUGGAAAAGCCAACCAAGUGGCAGAUGACUUGAGUAGAAGGAGAAAUGCGGUUUCUGAGGCUAAGGAAACGCAGGAGCUGAUAGCGACUUUGGCGAAUUUGAGUUUGUGUGUCGCUGAAGUAGAGGAUGAUGCAGCAGGAUUUGAAGCAUUGGAUAAUGCUGACCUGCUGAUGAGGAUUCGUCAGGAGCAAGCGCAUUAUUUGUCCCUUAAGGAGAUUUUUGAAAAGCAAGUGGUUGGGUACCACAAAGCAGACAACGGGACUUACAUGUAUAGGAAUCGAGUCUGUGUUCCCAUGAAUGAUGAGCUAAGGAGGGAAGUGUUAAGUCAGGCUCAUCAGUCGAAGUUUUCUAUUCAUCCAGGGAACACCAAGAUGUAUCGGGAUCUAAACCGCUACUACCGUUGGUCUGGUAUGAAGCGCGAUAUUUCUGCUUGGAUAUCUCAGUGUUCUACAUGUCAGCAAGUGAAAGCAGAGCAGAUGGCACCAAGUGGACUUCUCCAAAACUUGCCAUUACCAGAAUGGAAAUGGGAUAUGGUAACUAUGGAUUUUGUGACGGGGUUGCACAGGACACUAAGUAAGAAGAAUGCGAUUUGGGUAAUCGUAGACCGUCUUACUAAGUCAGCUCACGCUUUGCCAAUUAAAAAGACGGAUGGAGCAGAGCAGUUGGCGCAGAAGUAUAUUGAUGUUAUUGUGAGGUUGCAUGGAGUUCCAGUGAGCAUAGUGUCGGAUCGGGAUCCAAAGUUUACAGCUAGUUUCUCGCAGGCCUUCCAGAAAGCAUUGGGAACAAAGGUUCAUCUCAGCACAGCAUACCACCCUCAGACAGAUGGCCAAUCAGAAAGGACGAUUAGGACCCUGGAGGAUCUGUUGAGAACGUGUGUCCUAGAUUGGGAAGGAAGUUGGGAGAAGCAUUUGCCUUUGGCGGAAUUUGCUUAUAAUAACAGCUAUCAUAGUAGCAUUGGGAUGGCACCAUAUGAGGCUCUAUAUGGUCGGCCUUGUCGCACACCUCUGUGCUGGACAGAAGUAGAAGAAAUGAGAGUGCUAGAGCCAGAGCUCCUUGAGGAGGCGUCUAAGCAAGUGGAAAUGCUUAAGACAAGGUUGAAAGAAGCUCAUGAUCGCCAGAAGAGCUAUGCAGAUCAGUGAAGGCAGGAGUUGUCUUUUGAAGUUGGUGAUAUGGUGUAUCUGAAGUUGAGGACCUUCAGAGAGAAUGAUAAGCAUCGGCUGAUGAAGAAGCUUAAGCCUAGGUACAUGGGACCGUACCCUAUCCUGGAAAGGAUUGGAGAAGUGGCUUACCGUUUGGAGUUGCCCAAAGAAUUAGCUGAGUUCCAUGAUGUGUUUUAUAUCUCUCUUCUGAGGAAAGUUGUGAGGGAGCCAUAACUCAUUUUGCCCCAGCCGCCAGCAGAUGUAAAGAAGGACUUCUCAGCAGCAUAUCAGCCUGAGGCAGUGUUGGAAUUUCAGGAAAAGGAGUUGAAUGGUAAGAGAAAACCAGCGGUUAAGGUGUGUUGGGAAAGGGAUGGAAUCCGCGAAGAAACCUGGGAAGUAGAGCAGAAAAUGCGGAAGGAAUUCCCGGAACUCUUUAAGGAUAAGGGAGAAACCGGAGGAGUGGGAGAGAAUUCGGGGACGAAUUCUAUGGAAGUAGGGGAGAGUGGUAACAUCCCAAACCCAGCCCAAUUAGAGGAGGCCCAGCAAAUCCAGGCCCACUCCAGAAACCCUAAUAUAAAUAGGGAAUUAGGAGUUAAUGAGCCUCAUUUUGCCUCUAAUUACCCUAGCCCCCAAAGAAAAGAAAGUGAGAGAGAGAAGGAGAAGCUGCACGCCGUCGCCGAGGACGAGAGCCGCCGCCGCCGCCGCCGCUUGCCGAGAGAAGAAGGAGCACUCGCCUGCCUCCACCUUCUCAGAAGUUGCUUGAUUCUUUUGCCUCUUCUAGUUCUCCUUAAUCUCAGAUCUGCUUUUAGGCCAAGGUGAGGAUUAGAUCUAGGUCUUUCUUCUUAUCCCUUUAUCUUCUUCUGUUGUGUUGAGUCUAGAUCUGGUGGGACAGGUCUGUCUUCUUGUGCAUCUAGGCAGAUCCAUAUAUAUAUAUAUAUAUAACUAAUAAGAUCUAGGAUCUCAUUAGAGGAAGAACCAGCAUGAUUGAUUGAUAACCCUGUUGAUUGGUUAGUGAUUGGUAGAAGUCCUAAAGGUCAUAGUCUGUUUCUGGUAUAGUGAUGUGCCGAAUGCAGGCUUGUUUGCUGGGUUAUGUGCCGUCUGUGUGACCGUGGCAAUAAUCCGUUCAUCCGGUGGAGUGAUGACCCACGGGGCUGUCCAUGUGGCAUGCCGGGAUUGGUCUGUCCGUGUGACAGGGUCUCUUUCUGUGUGACAGGGCGUCUGUCUGUGUGACAGGGUGAGAUGUCGACCUGUGUCCGAGUGACAAGGUGGUUUGGCCUAUUGAGAGGCGGGAUCGCAGACAUCACUGCUUGUUAGUUGCUUGUGCACUUGUAGAGUGCUUGUUUGGUUUCAUUAGAUUUAUUCUUAAUAUGUUGGUGGAAAUAAAUGAAUAAGGCGGGAGCCUGGUUUGGUUCUCACAAAUUAUUCACCCCUCUCUCUCUAAAUUCCGAUGUGCAGGUGAAUGUGAUUGUGAUUGUGAAUGUGAUGAUGUUUGGGAAGAACUAGACGAGUAAUUCUAGUGUGGUGUGCCUUCAGAAAUAGAGGAAGUUUUAUUGUUUUCAAGAACUAUUUCAUAUUUCUUCUUAAGACAAUGUUUCUAUUUUAUUUCAGAUUUCAUAAGUUAUUUCAUUUCUAUGGUAAGACUUGGAUUUGGGUUUGGAUUUGAAUAAAGAACAACAAGUUAUUUGGAAUUGAUUUAGUUUAAGUUAGUUAAUAUCCCGGUUUAUUCUGGUUUCCUUUGGAACCAGGAAUGGGGUGUUAUAAUAACUCUAUUUUUAAAGUAAUUCCAUUUUUUUAAUAGUAACUCUAUUUUGGAGAGAAAUAUGAAGUAGGUUUAGAGAGAAUUUUCUUCAAACUCUAUUUUGGAAUGAAAUUUGGAGUAGAGUAGGAGAUGUCUAAGAGAACUGAUUACCCCAUCAAAUGAACGCAAGAAACGAUUCUCGGUAUCUUCGUCCUCCAUUCAAGCUCAGUUUUUUGUUCUCGAGGAAUCAAUCUUAUUACAAACUGGCCAACUCAUGAGAAACUUGUAGCAUUUAAGGGUAGCUUUCUCAGCUUUGGACAGAGAUCAGCUACUAUGUGCUUCAGAAAUGGAAAGGCAAGAGGACUCCCGUAGAUACUCUACAGCUUAGGCAAAUUCCUAAAUGUUAUAAAUUUUAGUUUCUGAAAUGGUCUUAUACCUGUAAGAUUGUUACUUUUUUUUUUACAAUGUCUUCCAGUCUUCUUGAAUUUUCAAUCUGUAGGUAGACAAGAUAUAUUGACUAGAUUUUGUUGAAAAAUGUCAAUCUCUAAAACAUUGCUGCAGUUCGCCAACCUUCAAUCGCCCAAUAAUUGCUCUAAAUCCAACUCCGCAGAUAUGAUUAUGGUUAGAACUUGUGGAUUCUCCAAGAGCUGAAGCUCCUUCAAUAAGCUAGCAUCUCCAUGAAAAUUAGAAUAUUAUAGUUUCAAAAUUCUUUAACUUGAUACUUUUGAUAUCCCAUUGAUACUAGAAAGUCUCUAUGUAACAAUCAAAUUCAGCUGACUUCGCUUUUUAAUAUCUUGGUAGCCAACAUGGAGUUGCUCUAUACUGUAUACGACAAGUCAAGAUACUGCAAGGAUGCCAACUCUGAUAGCUUUUUCAUAAAGCGGAUGAAUUUACCUGAGAGAUUUUUCAAAUUGUCACUCUGGAGGAACAUAGUUGUAUAAGUUCAGAGCACUUGGAAAUGCAAGUUAUCUCUUUAAUCGUAUUCUUCAUUAAAGACAUCCUUCUCACAGCUUUCCAAUGCUUGACUUUUGGUAUUUCAUGUAGUCCAACAUAACCCUUAUUCUUCGCUCUUUUAAAAACUUGGCAUUCUCCAAUGAAUCCCUAGAUCACGUACUCUAUCAAUUUUUCUUUAUCUAUUCGAACAUCUUCUGGAAACAGAGCACAAUAAAAGAAACAUGACUUGAUACGUUCAUCCACCAAGCAAUUGUAGCUGUACUGGACAUUUUGCUAAUGUUGAGCAAACAUGACUUUAUCUAUAGAGGAAACAUGACUUUAUCUAUAGUGUUUUUGGUCAAUAGGUGGAAUGCAUUUAGCUAAUGACGAUGAAAGAGAGAGAGAUUGUGUUAGAUUUCAUUCCUCUUUGCUUUGUAAUUUCUCCCAUAGUUUCAAAGUCGUCGACUUGAUGCAACCAUGUUUUUAUAAAGAUGAUUAAUCCCCAGUUUCGGAGUAUUUUAAUCACAUUAGAUGCCACUAUGUUUUAAAAGACAAAGCUCAAAUUCGUUGACUUGAGCUUUUCAAGAACGAUUUGAAACGUGUGGCUGAUGUCCCAGAAAGAAAUGCACCUGAUUUCAGAAUGGCCUCCAGAAACCUGCACCAUACCAAGUAAAAUCAAAACAAAUUAAAGUCAGAUAAUAAAAAAUUAAAAGAGGAAUGCUUCUGGGGGACAACUCCUAAGCAGCAUUGCUCUUAGAUUUAGAAGGUUCAAGAAGAGAUUAUUUCUGUACCAGCAAAACUUGGCAUAUUCUGAGGCUUAAGGAGGAUAUAAAACGUUGGUUGAAAGCUGUGUGGUUCAAGAGAGCCACUCCAAAGCAUGCUUUCACCUUUUGGACGGCAAACUAAGACAGGUUACCACUGAAAACAAAGCUUGUGAGCUGGGGAAUUAAUAUCUCUCCAACAUGCUGCCUUUGUGACAUGGAGGAAGAGACUAGAGACCAUUUGUUUCUACACUGUCCAUUUUCUGAAGCAGUUUUGACCAUGGGGAUUCGGUGACUCGGAUUUUUUUGGAGUCUCAUUCUCUAAUUGGCAGUCCAUGAUCAACUGGAUGCUUCAACGAACACCAAGACUCUCCUCUACUUACUUGUUAUGGGGUGAACGAAACCAGAUAAUACAUGAUGGUCCUCUAUCUUCUGAAAACCAUCUCUUCGAUUAGUUGGAUAGACUGAUUAGAGACACAUUGUUGGCACACAAUCCCAGCGUAACUAUAGGGGUCUUCUAUCUCUUUGGUUUAAGAACCACUAGUUCUUCAAGCUCGAUUGUAAUUCUACUAAAAUGAUCUGUUUCCAAGCCUUUUUCCUUUUUUAGGCUUUUGAAACAGUGGCUGAGAGAUUUAUAGAAUAGUAGCGGAUUAAGCAAGAAUAUAGAGAGAUUUAGGUGAGAUUAAUGAAAAACUAAAGAAAAGAAGAGAGAAUCAAGAGAUUUAGAGAGAAAGAAAUGUAUUCUCAUUUUCUUAGAUCUAUAGAAAGCUGCUACAUUGUGUUUAAGUAGGAAGACAAAGAAAACUCUAACACAUAUGAGUAUACUAAAUACCUUAUAAAGUUUUAUAAAGUUUUAUAAAAUCUUAUAAAGUCUUAUAAAGUCUUUUAAAGUUUUCUAAUUGGAUUCCCACCAGAAAAGCUGAGAAUGAUCCAUCUUGUUUAACAGUGGCUAAUGUAAUAUACAAUAUAAUUCAAAUUUUAUUAAAAAAAAUAUAAGUUGCUUCUUUUGUGGGCAAAAAACAGGUCAUACAAAAGCUCGUCGUUAGUCUUUACAAGUUUCAGAGGACAGUAAUAUAUAAAAUCAUCAAAUAAUAUCGAAAACCCAUAGAAAUACACAAAAGCGUGUGUUCAAGAGGAAAGAAUUGUACAAGAAUAAUCUAUAACAUGUUGCAUCUAAUUGUGUCGAUGUUACAUGGGAUCUUCUUCGUCCAUCUACUAUAGUCAUAACAGGAUGUUAAAGCAAGACUUAAAGAUGAUGGAUCCGAGUCUGAAGUUACAGAAACGUGGAUUAAGCAAUAAAUUGGAGAUGAUGAAAAUAAGUUAUGCCCAAAGUAGCUUAUGAUGUGGAAGUGGGUUUUGUUUUUUUUUGCGAAUCCUAAAAGAUUAUUGUGUUGUGCUGAUUCUACGUUAGUCUUAGAAGAAUGGAGUGUGUAAAAUAGAGAAAAUUUUAUAAAAGAAGUAACGUUCAUAUGUAGAAAAGCAAGCUUUUGAAUGAAUAAUGGCUUGGUUUAUUUUUCUGUUGAAAGAAAAAAAAAAUUAUUUAAUAUUUCAAAACGAGUGUAAAAGUGAAAUACUUUCUCGCGAUAGAAAAAGUAUUUCACUUUCUCGCGACAGAAAAAAUAUUUCACUUUCUCGCGACAGAAAAAGUAUUCCACUUUCACUGCUGGUGAUCUAAAUGACGAUCCCAAAUAAACAAAUAAUAUUAGAAAUUUAUCUAUACACUAUUAUUUGCGAAGUUAAAAAUUUUAGGUAUUGUCCCCACAACAAUUGUUCUACGUGGCAUUAAUGAAAAAAUAUUAUUUAUUGUUUUAAUUUGUUUUAAUAGAUCGAUCAUUAAUCUUACGUGUAAAAACUUGUGACUUGGCUUUUUUCUUCGAUAAUGGGCUACAGAGUUUGUUCAUGGGCCAGCGAUUUUUUUUUUCACUCAUAGCCACCGAUUCUGGUAAUAGGGCACCGACGUCGAAACCCUAAACUCUAAAGAAUAUAUCCUACUAUAUAUACAUGUAUUAUCUACAUAUAUUUUUACAUACAACAACUGUCUUCAAGGUCUAGCAAUUUUUACAAAACUCGUCCACCUCUUUACACGAAUACAUCUUUUGUAUAUCCCAAUCUAGUUUAAAAUAUAUCGUUUAUUUAGUUGGUUGUUCUUCCAUGCUAACUUUUGAAUCGUUUUGUUCUGAUCGAGAUUCUUUUAUGCUAACCAGUCAAAUAUCUAUGUUUUUUUUCUAUCGUGUUCUAUAUUAUUAUGCAUCACAACUAUUUUAUUUUUUAAUCCCUGUUUUACUCUCUAUGCGAUUGGUCAUCGAGAUAUCAUAUUUGUGUUCUUUCUUUUGCUUUGUAAUUCUAUAUAUAAAAUUCGAUGCUUCAGUAUUAGAUAUUCAUGUUUCUCUUUAUUAAAUUUUUCUUAUGGUUAUAUUGAGUUAUUAUUCGUAAAUAUAGAUUGACCUGAGCUUCUUUAUUGUUUUCAUUGAACCUAGAGUUUAUCGUGCAAACUAUAGGUGAUUGGUUCAAACUUUUGCAAUCAUAUCUUCAAAUGAAUCUAACAGGUAAUUGUAAAUAAAUCAUUAGUACUUUUUUUUGUCAACAACUUAUUAGAACUUCCAAUUUUCUUAAUUGAUAUUCGUAAACUCUAUAAUUUAUUAUUUUGAUAUUCUUAAAAGGAUCAAAACCAUAGAAAUGAGUUUUUUUUUUGUGUGUAUAAUUCAUGUUUUAGUUUAGGUUUGUAUUAAUUUUUCUGGUAACAUAUUGUGAAUGAAUGUUAUUUAUUGUUUGAUUGUUUGAUUGUUCUUUGUUUCUCCUUGGGUUCUACUAUACAUUUUCUUUAUAUUGUUGUUUAUGUUUAUUUUUAUUUCUAAAUAUAAUUUUAUGGUUUUUGUGGUAGCUUUUGUGGACAUGUAAAAAAAAAAAAAGGAGUAACCAUUUCAGAUUAAUUUUGGUUUCAUAGUUUACUAAAGAUAUGUAACAUGAACAAAACGUCUAUUGUUUUAUAAAAUUCCCAUUGUUUUCUACCCAAAGGCAAUUAUGUUGGUUCUGGAAAAAAUGUUUUAUAGUUUUGCUUUUUACCCAACACAUUCUUUUAUCAGAAAAACAUUAAAUCACUCUCAAGAUUAAACUUAUCAGGCAUUAAAGCAAUAUUUUUGUUGGUAAGUCGAUGAAUGAGAAUGUGAUGUCUCAUAACUUCAAAGAGCAAAGGAAAAAUAAGUGACAACGAGACUAGAUUCGGUGUGAGUAGAAUCUUUACGCAUGUUAAGUAUUUGUUGAUAUACAGCAAUCAUAUUGAGAACAGAGUGCAAACCAAUUGCAAAUUGCACCAUCCAAUUGGUGUUAAAUUAUAUUAUGGUUAAUCCCUGACCCAUUUCUUAGUUUCAUCAUUAAUUAAUGAAUCAUCAGUUUUUUUUAACCCCUGAUGAGAGAUAAAAUCAGCUGAAGGAAGGAAAGUCACCAAUACAGAGGAAGAAGAAUAUUUGCUAUAAAAUAUUCAGGUCUUAAUUUUCAUCAUCCUUGUAAUUUGUUUCAGCUUGCUAAAACUACUUUUUUAGUGUUGCAGACUUCAUCGGAAUACCUAAUAAAUUGAUGAUUCUCUGAUACCAGAAUCUAAGAAAUAUACUCACACGUGAUAAACUGAAAUUUUUGUGAAUUGCAGAAUGAACAUACUCACACGUUGCAUUUCUUAUAUGUUUUGAUGUGAAACAAGUAAUUCUUCUGUCAUAUAGCUUUGUUGCUUUAAAAUUAAUCAGUCUGCUAUUACCAGUUACUUUUAAAUCAGAAUUUCAUAACGUAAUGUGGUAGCAUAAUCCAAAUUUGUUGAUUUAAGUAGGAUAUCCCGAAUAGGAAAUGUUGUAGUUCGUGUAUGGCAUACUUCAAAUCUUAGAAUAUGUUUUGGCUUGAGUCUUCAAGAUGUGCUAGAUAGUUAUCAACUUAUCAUCUUGAGGAAAUGAACUUAAAGAAUUAUAUAAGAGAUAUACUCAUAAUUCAUAUAUACUAUAAUCCAUUUUAUUGCCAAUUUUUUUUUUUGAGUUAGAACCUAUAAAACUUAAAAACAUAUAUCAUGGUAGAAUCAAGUGUCAUCUCACUAAGACUUAUUAUGCUCAUAUAUGGUUCUAUUGAUUUUAAAAAAAAAAUAAUAAUUAAACAUACGAAUUAACCAAAAUAUAGUUUUAAAAGUUUUAAGGUCUGCUAUGUUUUUUUAAAGUGUUAGAGCAUUUUCAUCCCUUAAAUCUAUUAGAGGUUCUUAAACAUAUUUUAAUAUUAAAUUUGUCAAAUAUUUUAAUAUUAAAUUUUAAACUGCUUAUCCUAAUCAAUUAAAACACGACACCUAGCUAAGAGAUUCAUUAAAAUCGAUCCUUAUUUAAGAAUCACAAUAACCAGUCCUUAAAAUUAAAUGCAUUUUUCAAUUAAUUUUAAACCCACUUUUCCUCUAAUAUCCCCAUAGGAUAUCACCGAAGAGGUAGGUGGUCUUACUUUGCUAAGCUUCAAAUUGUAUUGUCUUCACUCUUCAGUAUAAGACUAAUGAACAUUUAGUUUACAAUUUUGAAUUUUCUAAAUGGAGUAGGCCGAGAUCAGGCCCAGGCUAUAACCGCUUCUUACAGGCUAUUGAUGCAAUCAAAUGUUACAAAUUGCAAACGGCUAUUUGCUUUGUGUUAGCAUUGGUCCAUUGAAUUUUCAAUUUUUUUUUAAUAACUUAUAUUGAGUCAUAUGGAAAUGGACAACACUCAGUUUAAUAAUAGAUGUCCGGUAUCGGUUCUUAUCAGCACCGCUGCUUUGUAUGUAGUCGCCGUCUGCAAGAAUCAUUCUGAGAAAUGCUAGACAAAAGUGAGAAAGACGAUUUCGUAAAAGAAAGAAGAUUGAGUUUUGCCAGAAACUACUCUACAAGAUUGUUAUAGUUUCUGGACACGCAGCUAAUUCAAACGACGAACCAAUGUUCAAGACCGGUGGGCGGUGAAUUGCGAAUUUGUUUUUGGCUGAAGAUUUGUUCUUGGGUUCUUGUUUUAAUGUUCUUAAUGUGGUGAAGCCAUUAGGAAAGGAAUGUGAAAACUCUUAAAAUUAAGAAGACUCUUUCCAUGUCUUCUUAAGUGAAGUUGUCUCUAGUUAUUGCCCCAAAUCAGAAAGCCACUAGACAUAGUUUAGGAUUAGAUGGAAGUCACAGCAUCUUCAGAUUUAAAUUAGAGAGUCUGAAAAACAGGAUCUUCAUGAUUCAGCAAAAUCAUAUAACUUUUCAUCUUGAUUCCUCCUGUUAACAACACAUACACACUGCAAGAUGAAAUAGAAAAAGCUACAGGUAGAGAAAUUUCAUUUUGGAUAGUGAGGAAUCAAAAUACACAGUAAAUUCAGAGGCAUCACAUGCUUUUAUGAUAUAUCCUUUCACGUAAAAGCAUAAAAAAACUGUUGAUUAUAUAAAUACAUGUAGCUUGAGAAGGAAGCAAUCCGCCUUAACUUAUUACAUAGAAAAAUGAAAAAGAAAAUCCAAUUUAAAAACACAACACACUGCAGAGAUGUAUGAGACUGCAUAGGAAAAACAAUAAUACAAUCCAAAUGAAGAACACAUCAUACUUUGAGAAGAAAGAGAAAGCAGAAGAAGAAGCGUGGAUUCUGGUUUAUCACAGUGAGGAAUUCCAAUCCAAAUUGAGGGAUGGUUAGUCCUAAUAACUCAGUACUAUAAGAAAAAAAUAAAUAAACAAAGUUAGUGAAUAUUCAGAAAAAUACAUUUCACCUAAAACUGCUAGGAAUAUCCAGCAAAUUCUGCCUCACCAUUUAAUAUCUUAAUAAGAAGCUGAACCAAUUUUCAACAGUUUCUAUUAAAUAUUUGUAUAUAUUCCUUCAUUAACGAAUGUGAAAGGAAAAGAAGAAGAAAGAAAAUACUGUUUGUGAUUUAGUAGUCAUUUGAAGAGUUCAAUGCACAUAUGUAUUUAAACUUUUGAAAUUAUGACCCCUCGUAAAUAUCCAACAAACACAGGUCUGAUGAUUUUCGAGAUAAUUUUCUAAUUUUGUGACCCAAUUUGUGUUUUGUUGGGUAUCAAUGUAUCAUGAUGCAAAUGGAUCAUAUCAGACUAAAAAAAAAACGAUCACACCUCAUUCUAACCUUGAGCAAACAUGAAAGAAACUGAAGUAAGAUAAAAUAAUUUAUUCAAGCGGAAGAGAAUAAGAGAAAUGAUUACCCCAGCGAAUAAAAGGCAGGAAACGAUGUUUAGUAUCUUCAUUCUCCCAUUCCAGCUCAGUUUUCUGUUCUCGAGGAUACAUAUUUAUUUUAAACCCGCCAAGUCGUGGGACACUUGUAGCAUCAAAGGGAAGCUUUCUCAGCUUUGGACAAUCAUAUACUCCUAUGUGCCGCAAUGAUGGAAAGGGGAGAGGACUCCAGUAGAUACUCUCCAGCUCUGGCAGAUUUCUCAGGACUAAGUGUUCUAGUUUCUGAAAUGGUGUAGUACCUGUAAGAUUGGUUGCUUUCUCUUUGUUUAUGAUUUCUUCUAGUUCUCCUUCGAAAAUUUCUAGCCGAGUCAGAUUUGGAGAAAACAGUAGCCAAGUCAGAUCCUUAAUGCCAUGACAGCGAAACAUUGUCACGACGGAGAGGUUGGUAAAGCAUGAGCUUCCUCUGCAUUUAAUAUAUGUAUCAAUCGCCGACACAUGACUACUCACAUGGAGCUCACGAAGAUUCUCCAUACUCAACAGCGAUGACAUAUUGAAUGGCUUUUCCUCAAAUCCCACAAUACCCAGAUAAUUGAUGCAGUUAGCCAACUCGGUAGAGAUCGUUAUAUAUGCUUCAAACCCAACUCGGUAGAGAUCGUUAUCUGUAGAACUUGUAGAUGCUCCAAGAGCUGCAGCUCCUUCAACAAGCUAACAUCUCCAUGAACUUUAGAAUAUCUUAGUUUCAAAAUUCUUAAACUCGACAGCUUUGAUAUCCCACUGAUACUACAAAGACUCUUUGUAAAAGUCAAAUCCAGAUGAAUUAGCUUUUUCAACUCUUGGAAACCAACUGGCAGUUGCUUUAUACUUGUGCCCGACAAGUUAAGAUACUGCAAGGAGGCCAGCUUCGAUAUCUGCCGAUAUCGAUAUUACGUGAUAGAUCCAAAACAACUAGCUUUUGCAUAGAGCCGAUGAAUUCACCCGAGAGAUUCUUCAAAUGAGUAUUACGGAGGAGCAGAGUUGUAAGUUCAGAACACUUGGAACCACAGGUUAUCUUUUUAAGCUCAUUCUUCAUCAAAGACAUCCUUCUCACAGCUCUCCAAUCCUUGACUUUUGGCAUUUCGUGUAAUCCGACUCCUGCUUGAACCAAAAAAGUCUCUUUCUGUUUCCCAAAGUCGGAUGCAAUCCAUAGAGCCAUUUCGCGAACCACGUCAUGCAUCACAACACCUCUUCUACUAUUAGACUGUUCUGUCAGUAAAUUUGCGCGGAUAAGGGUACCAAGUACCUCAUAACCCUUAUUCACUGCCCUUUUAUAAGAUUGGUCUUCCUUGAUGAAUCCUUCGCAUAUCCAGUACUCUAUCAAUUCUUCUUUAUCUUCAGGAAACAGAGCACAAUAGAGGAAACACGACUUGAUAUGUUCACCCGCCAAGCUAUCGUAGCUGAACUUCAGAAUUGGCAGACCUUUUUUGCAUGCUCGACAAUGGCAGGAUCUCUACUUAAUGUGUAGUCUCCUACCUUGCUUUUGAACAAUUCCCAUGCUUCUUCUUGUCCCAAACAGUCGACUUUCAUCGGCUCAUGAUCUCCCAUCCGCCCACAUACUUCCCGAGUGGUGAAUGCUACUUUGCAUCCAUUUUCUCUGGUGGGAAACGGAACUCCGAUAGCUUCUAAAUCCACUUUCUCCCAUAUAUCAUCUAGCAUCAAAACAAAUCUCUUCCCUUUUAAAACUCUGUGUAUAUCGAUUGCCUUGUCACUUUCACUUUUGUUCGUUCCGCCAAGGUUUAGCUUUUGUGCAAUAUCUUCUUGAAGCUUUGAAAUAGUUGCACCUUGAGACACCACGACCCAGAUCACAACAUCAAAUCUACCAGCCAUUUCAGUGAACUUAUUGUGGAUAUUCUUGAAAAGGGUAGUCUUGCCUACACCUCCCAUACCGUGCAAACCAAUGAUUCCAACUCCAUCUUCCAUAAGGCGCUUCCAUGCCUCUCCCAGCAUUGUUUCCUGACCGAUCGUAGGCCCAGUAGGCCUUUCUUCUACUACAGAUCUCAAAACCGGCUCAGUAACCUCUUUAAAAUUACCCUCCGAUUUGAGUUUCUUAACCUCUUUCAGCAACAAGAAUACCUUUUUCCCAUAUUUGUAGCUCGAACAUACACUUUUU